AAAAAAAAAAUGUUGGUUCAGUCCAAACUGGAACACUAUUAAGUUAUUAGAUCAUAACUGGAGCUGUAGAACUUGGAUUUAGGUCUGAUUUAUAUGUAUGGAAAGCUAAGACAUAGGCCUAAAAAUUUCAUGAAAAGUCCAAGAUUUAAAAGUGUCAUUUUCGAGUUCAAAUGGUAGCAACAACGGAAAAGUCGGAAUCUGUCCUGCAGCCCAGACAUUGUUCAAUGUUCAGUCCAUAUCUCGAGUUCUAGAGUCCAAAUGCACCGAUUCUUGUUUUGUUGGAAAGGUCAGACAAUUUCCCAUAACUUUCAUAAAGACUAUCUGUUCAAAUUCUGAUGUUAGCAAUGACGUUUUCUGCAGACAAGAAGAUAAGGAGUUUUACCAAGUUAAGAGGUGGCCACCCACUCAACAAUUAGUCAUCAAAUCAAUAGUUCUGAAUUUUGGCCUAUAGAAGGAGGCAUUUGCCAUGCAUUUAGGCAUAUUGGUUUUCAGAUCAAGAUCAUGUUCUUGCUCUCUCUCUUUAUAUUUUUGUAACGCUUAAGUUUUCUUUAUAUUAAUAUCUUGUUUAUACUUUUCAUUUCAUUUCCUUUACUUAGUUAACUUAUAUCUUAUUUAUGUUCGUAUCUUGUUUAUUUAUAUUUCUCUCUUUCAUUAUGUUUAGCUAAGUUUAUUAUGUCAAGGUGAAAAGGUUACACUAAUGGUGUAAGAAUAAGUAUAGUAUAAACUCAACAUGAACUUUAAUGUUUGAUACUAACAUGUUUUGUAUUUGUUAUCUUGUUCACUUUUAAUACUUUGCUUGUUAAAUGGUUAAUCUAGAUUUAUGUUGUAUAACCCUUGGUACAACAAAUACUUGGCACUUUUAUAGCCCAACCGUAUGGUAUAACCGACACCUGUGCUAUGAAAGGAACUUGAUUUGUUGUUAACAUAAGUUAUAAUCAUGAAUACCUAACAACAUUUACAAGUAUUAGCAUUAUUCGAAUAAGAUAACUAAUGUAAUCAUGUUAACAAUUUAUAAUCCGAUUGGAACCUCCUUUAUGUGUGGUUUCCAGUUGAGUAAUAAAAAGAGUUUAUAUUAUACUUGUUUGAAAUACCAUUAGUGGAUCCUCUAACCUUGACAAUUGUUUUAUAUUUGUUUAAAACCUUACAUCAAUAUCACAUCUCAAAGCUAUCUUCAACUCCUUUUCUGUUAUUAUCUAUUUUUUUAUUUGUAGUUUAUACAUUUAACCUCCCUGUGGUUCGCUCCCGGUCUUGCCGGGUUAUUUAUUAGUUCGACAUUCCUGUACUUGGGAUAAGACAUCAAUCUUUUGAUCGUGUCACUUGUACAUAGCAUCACAUACAUAAUGAAUCCUAUAACUGAAUUAUAGAGAAUCCUUUCCAUCCCAUCUCUCUCAACUUAUGUCUUGGUACACAUAUCUUUAGAGAGACGUAGUCCUUAUGAAAUAGAUAAAUAUCCUCUCUUGGAUUCUUUCAUGCUAAACUGUUUUAGCAUAUUGUCUAUGUAUGUGGAUUGAAACAAUCUAAGCAACCUUCUAGAUCUAUCUCUAUAAAUCUUUAUUUCCAAUAUAUAAGCUACUUAUCGUAUGUUCUUCAUGGAGAAGAUAUUGGAUAACCAAAUCUUUACUGAUUGGAGUAAAGGAAUGUUGUUUCCUAUCAAUAAUAUGUCAUCUACAUAUAAUAUUAAGAAAACAACUUUACUUCUACUAAAAUUUUUUAUAAACACAAGGUUCAUCCAUAUUUUUUAUGAAUCAAAUUGUUUGAUUAUCUCAUCAAAACAGAUAUUCCAACUCCUUGAAGCUUGUUUAAGUUCAUAAAUAGAUUUUUGUAGAUUGCAUACUUUGUUAGUAAGUUUUUUAGACUUAAAAUUUUCAGGUUGUGUCAUAUACACAUCUUCAUGAAGAUUCCCAUUUAGGAGUUCAGUUUUCACAUCCAUUUGUCAAAUCUCAUAAUCAUGGCAUGCAACUAUAACUAUAAAAGUUCUCAUAGAUUCUAACAUAGUUACCAACGAGAAGUUUUAUCAAAGUCAACCUACUAUCUUUUUUUAUAACCUUUAGCAACUAGUAUAGCUUUGUACGUUUGUAUAUUGCCAUAUAUGUUAAUAUUUCUCUUAUAGACCCACUUAUAUCCAAUAGGUUUUAUCCCUUCAAGUGGAUCAACCAAAGUCCAUACCUAAUUGGUGUACAUGGAAUCCAUUUUAGAUUUCAUGGCUUCAAGCUAUUUAUUGGAAUCAAUAUUAGAUAUUGCUUACAUAUAUUUAGUAGGCUCAUCAAGUAUGAGCAACUCGUCAUCAUUAGCUUCCACAAGAAAUUGAUAUCUCAAUGGUGUAUAACGUGUCCUACCAAAUUUAUGGAGCUCUUAUGUUUCUUAAGUUUUAAGCUAAACAUCAAAUGUUAUAGUCAUAAGCUCUUGAUCCACUUAGAUGUCUGUUUAUGGUUCUUGAACUUUAUUAAGUUUUAUUUUUUCUCCCACUGCUCAUUUCAAGAACAAGUUCUUUCUCUAGAAAAGUAACAUAUUUUGAGACAAACAUCUUUUGCUUAACAAGAUGAUAGAAAUAAUAUCCAAUAGAUUCUAUUGGAUAUCCAACAAACUUACAAUUAUCUGACUUAACUCCUAACUUUUCAGAUACUAUACACUUCACAAAACCGCUACAUCCCCCAAAUCUUUAAGUAUGAUAUGUUUGGUCUCUUACCAUUCCAUAUCUUAUAUGAAAUUCUAUCAAUAAAUUUUGAUGGAACCCUAUUUAAAAGAUAAGCAACAGAUUACAGGGCAUAACCUUAAAAAGAAAGUGGAAUGUUUGCAUUGCUUAUCAUGGACUGUAGCAUACAAUUUUUACUUUCAGAAAGUCCAUUAAGUUGUGUUCUAAGAGGUGUCCAUUGUGAGAGAAGCCCAUUAUUUUUAGAUAAUCUUGAAAUACAACUCAAGUAUUCACCGCCUUGAUCCAAUUGAAGUAUUUUGAUACUCUUUUCAGUUUGUUUUUCAACUUCAUUUCUGAAUUCUUUGAACCUUUCAAAUAAUUCGGACUUGUGUUUCAUUAAAUAUACAUAACCAUAUCUAGGAUAGUCAUUAGUAAAUGUAAUAAAAUAAGUAUAUCCACCUAUGAUACAAAUCGUCAUUGGUCCAUAUACAUUUGCAUAUAUUAGACCUAAAAAUUCCUUAGACCUUUCACCUUUUUCCAGUAAAUGGUGUUCUAGUUAUAUUAUCUAAUAAACAAGCUUCAUAAGUUUCAUACGAUUCAUAAUUAAAAGAAUCAAAAUACCAUUAUACAUGUAAUUUAGCGAUUCUUAUUUCAUUAAUAUGACAUAAUUUACAAUGCCAUAAAUAUAAAGGAUAUUAAUUAUCUAGUCUAUUCUUCUUGUUAUUUUUAUUGAACAUGGUCAUUUCAAAAACCAGUAUAUACAAACCAUUUGUAUAAUCAUCAGUUCCAUAAAAAAACACCAUUAUUAUAAAAAGAGCGACAUUUGCCCUCAAUAAUAAAUUUAAAUCCAUUAAAAGCUAAGUAAGAAAUGGAUAAAAUGUUUCUAGAAAGUAUUGGAACAAAAUAAAAAUUAUUAAGUUCUAGUAUCAGACCCUUUUGAAAGUAAAAUAAUAAGUUCUUACAGCUAAUGUAUCAACUCUUGCUCCAUUUCCAACUCGUUAGUCCACUUCGCUUUUAUUUAAUCUCCUAAUUUUCUUUAACUCCUACAUAUUAUUGCAAAUGUGAAAACUACAUCUGAUAUCCAAUACCCAAGAACUAUUAUGUGAAGUAGAAAGAUAAUUUUCAAUCAUAAACAUACUUGAAGUAGAAACCUUAAUAAGUUUCUUUUCCUUCACGGUUACAAGAUAUUCCUUAUAAUUUCUCCUUUAAUGGUCAUCCUUGCCAUAAUGAUGACAAAUACCCUUAUCUUUUUUAAUGCCCCUAGUAGGCUUCUUUGCUUUAGAGAUAAAACCUUUAUUAUUUUUAUUUUUCUUAGACAUUUUAGAAGACUAAACUAGGAGAACAAGACUUUUUUUCUUCUUAAGGGCCCUUUCAAUAGUUUUAAGCAUUUUAAGCAAUUCCAACAAUGUAUUAUCUAAUUUAUUCAUGUGAUAUUUCAUAAUGUAUUGCAAAAAUAUUUGGGGUAAUGACUGCAAGACCAAGUCAACACUUAACUCAUGGUCUAUAACAAAGCCUUAAUAACCUAUUUUCUCAAUAUAGUCAAUCAUUUCAAAACAUGGGUAUUUAUAAAUGAACCUUCUGUCAUAUUGCAACAUAACAAUUCCUUAGAGGUCUUAUAUCUCUCAAUCUUACUAGCUACAUCAAACAACUCUUUGAGAUGCAUAGUUAUAGUAUGACCAUCCAUAUUCUCAUGUUUCAUUUGAAGUUCUGGUCAUGAUGGCUAACAUCACAUCCUCAUCAGGAGCAAGAAGAAUUGGAUUUUCAAAAACAUAUAACCUUUUUUCUUGCUUAAGAACAAUUUUCACAUUACAAUACCAGUUCAAGAAGUUUAGUCUAGUCAAUUUUUUAGCAUCGAGUAUGCUGCUUAGGGAUAUGUUACUACUCAUUUUGAUCUAUCAAUUUCUUUAUAUAAAGAUAGCAAGUAUUAGUUUCAUGCAUACUUAUUUAAAUCCAAAUUCAAAUAAGGUCUUUAAUCUUAACUUGGUCUCCCACUAUUUUCUUGUAAAUUAAUAGUCCUUACCAUUAAUUAAGGAAAUCUCACUUAGAUCUCCUAGUGGUCUAAUAUCCCAUUUAAUUUAUAUGACCUUAACUAACUCAAUAAAUCAAAAUAAAUUAAAUUAGAUAUGUAACAUAGCUUAUCAAUCACAUCUUUAUGUGACUCCUAGAUCAAUUAAGUGAUAACUCUUUAUCUAAACAUAUCAUAUAUGUUUUGCCUAACGCCUCUAAUAUUUUAUGAUCAUAAGUAACUCAUCCAAAUCAUAUAAGUUAGUUAAGCAGAACCUAAUUUUAUAGCAUUAAACAUAGUCGAUUAAUGGUAACCUUGAGUAGCUCAACAAGUUAUCUAUGAAUAGAACUUUGGUUUUAUGCAUAUAAAAUCGGAAGGCAACAAAUCAUGUUCUCAACAUGUACCUAAUAUAUUAAUGAACAAUUUAUUAUCAAUUUUAAUUAGUUCUCAUUUCAUGGCAUAAUUGAUAUAUCAUACAUAACAAUUAUAUAUAUUAAUAUACAACCUCAACAUGUCAUUCUAAUUGGAUGAUUAUAGACAUAUCUAAACUAAUUUUCUCGAGCCAUCAAAGGGAAUUAAGUGAUCAAAACCUACGUAGCUAAUGCAAAUCUUCAUAAGUCAUUUACGAGCACCAUAGUUGUAUCCUUCACCUGCAUUCUUUCUUCGUUUUGGAUUAUAAAAUAAUUUUUCUAUUUAAAUUCUUACAUUUCUAAAUUACAUAAUGUUUACAUAAUUAAUUAAGAAAUCUCGAGUUACAUUCAAAUGGAAUUAAAUGAGAAAAUAAUUUUACAACCCUAGAAGAAAAAUAAAGAAAAGGUAAGACAUGCAGACUCUUUUGAUAUUACAAUCAUUCAACCAUAAAACAAAAUCACAUUGGUCUUUAAUGUUCAUAACCAUCCAUCAUACAUAAUAACACAUUAAUAUGUAUAAAUAAAUAUAUUGCAUGCUUCAAUUAUAAUUAAUGACUUUAUGUGUAAUUUUUAAAAUAAAAUUUCUAACACUUAAAAAUAUUAAAUCAAAUCCAAUUUGAUAAUUUUUCAAAAUUAAUAAAUUUCAUUUAAUAUAAAUUUUUUCUUUGAAAUACCUUCAAAAUUUAAUAAGAAAUUUAAUCAUAUUAAAAUUAUUAUUAAUAUCCUAAACUAUUUUAUGAUCAAUUAAAUAAAAAUAUUUUAGCUUUAAAACUCUUUACUUUAGAAAAAAAAAUAUUUUUCUAAAAAUUAUUUAAUUAAAAAUUUUAAUUAAAUCCUAAUCCUAUUAGGAUAUAACCAAAACUCAAAGAUUUUGAAUUAAAUAUUUUAAUUCAAUCUUAAUCUAAUUAGAAAAAUUAAUAUUACAAUUAAUUUAAUUUAGAGUUUUAAUUUUAAAAUAUAAAAUUAAUAUUUGAUAUAUGAAGGGGAAAAUAUAAUUUCCCCCAAUAAUACCAUAGAAGUAAUUAGGCAUAAGUUGUAGGGGUAGAUUCGUAAUUCUACUCCUUGAAACCCUUAAAAAGACUGCAGAUGUAGAAUCAUAAAAUCUACCGCUUCUUCUUCUUGUUGCAGCAACAAGGCUAAUGCAACUACUAGCAUGGGCUGCCAACAACCCUCGCGCUACCCAGUGUGGCGCCCAUAGCAGUGCUUGACGUUGGUGUGGCUUUUUUCCAGUGGUGAUUGGUUGUGAACGUAACACAACCAGGCAUGCCAGCGACGCUGAUGCCGCCACUAAUGGCUGUUGCAGCCACUAGAAACCAUUUUUUUAAUUUCAAUUGUGGAUUUCGGCCAUAUCUAGCAUGGAUAGUAACCAUCAAGUUUUUUUAAAAAAAACAUGAGAAAAAUAUUUUUGAUAAAAAUAAAUUUUUAAAGAGAUUGAAUUCGCAAUUAAUGCCAAUAACAAUUAAAACAUGCAAUUAGCAACCCUAAUUGUCUAACGAAGGCUCUGAUAUCAUUGUUGGGUUUUUCAAAACACAUACACGCAACAUAAACAAUAAAUUUAAAAUUUUUCUAGAGUUUCAAGGAUCCUGUUAGAAAGAUCCAGAGUUAUUUAAGGUUUAUGUAAAGAUUACCUAAAGAUUAGAUAAAUGUUUUUUUCAGUUUUAGAUAUUUGCUUUAAGGCUGAAUUAUAACAAACCACAAAUGAAUGUUCCGAUUUAAACAUUAUAACAUAGAGUAUGUCUGCUUUGUUAAAUUGUUUUAGUUCUCAGUAUUAUAGCCAUUGAUUAUUUGAAUAAAAUUUUGUUAUGUCUGUUUUGUUAAAUCAUUUUAGUUCUCAAUAUUAUAGACAUUGAUUAUUUGAAUAAAAUUUUGAAACUCUUUCAAAACUCAUUCCACCUUGGCCAAAGAUUUCACAAUCAAUACUAUUUGAGAACAGAUGAAAUAUUUUUCUUAAUUCACCUAGGGUGAUGAAUUUUCUCUUGAUUACUCAAAUAUCUUCAUAUAGUUGAUGUUAUACUUAAUAUCUACCUAUUUGUUACCCUUUAUUAAGACAAUAGAAUCAGGAUCAAAAUAUAAUAUUUUUUAAAUUUAAGGAUUACUUAUACUAUCAUGAGGGCCUUUCAAUAAAUAGGUAAUCUCUUCUUAUAAAAUUCUUUUAUGGGUCAGUUCAGGAUUCUUUAAAAUUAAUUUUUCAUUCACCCAUAAAUUUUCUAAUUAAAAUAAAUUUCCAAAACCAAAUUAAAUGCCUAAAGAAGAUCAAUAACGUCCACAGCAUUUCAUCUCCCUCGAGUCCUCAAUUCAGCAUUGCCCUUUAAUGUUUUCCUCCUUUGUCUUUCAUGAAGUCCUUGCGCGUAUCUAUAUAAGAAUAACAAGAGAUGGGUAAUAUCCUGUGAAAACCCGGCAACUGAGUCUGAACUCCUUCAACAAGUACAGCUUCAUAUAUAUUACUACCUAUUCUCUUGUUCCCUCUUGCUCACCAUGGUGCCAACAAUCCUCAAAACAUCAGUUUCUGGCAUCAAGCUAUCAUCGGUUGUGCCAGCCGAAGUGACAGGUGACAACGAGGACCGAAAACUAACAAAUAUGGACUUGGCCUUUAAGCUCCAUUAUGUCAGGGGUGUGUCCUUUUUCAGUAACGAAACAGUCCAGGGUCUCACAAUAUACGACUUGAAGGAACCCAUGUUUUCACUGCUCGCUCUCUAUCCUACUGCUUCGGGAAGAAUUCGGAAAUCUGAAUCAGGCAGACCUUUCAUCAAGUGUAAUGAUGGUGGUGUUCGGAUUGUUGAAGCGCACUGUGACAAAACCAUUGAGGAAUGGUUAAAGAUUAACGACCACAAACCUCUUGAUGAUUAUCUUGUUUACGAUCAAGUUCUUGGUCCAGAUUUAGGAUUCUCUCCAUUGGUCUUUGUUCAGGUAGCGCCUAUUACCCCCUAUCAACACUAACAUUUCAUUUUGUUUUCUUUCUAUUUUGGUUUACAUGAAGCAUUUCUGCCCGCAAAAUUGGAUAGUUGGAUUUUUGUCACUAUCAAAUUUGGUCUUUAAAGUUUUAAUUUUGAUUUUUUAACAAAAUUGAAUCUUAUCCCAUGAAAUUGAGCAUCAAUUUAAUGAUAAAUUUUUUUUAAAAAAUUGUGAUUUCCCAAUAAAAAGGUAAUUGAAAGGGAUUAUUGCUCCAAAUUCUGUUAAUAAAAUAUUUAAAGAUAAAAUAGAAAAAAACAAUUUAGUGACCGAAAUACAAAAAUCUAAAAGAUUAAAAUGAAACACUACUUUACCUCCCCACGCGUCCACAUUAAAUAUAGAAAACCAUUUAGUUUUUCCUUUAAUGAAUACGGGGUAUAAUUGAUAAAUUCACAGAUUUGGGUUGAAAUUGAAAGGCAUAUUAGAGUCUCGAAUGAAAAUGAGAUCUUUCGAUGGAAAAAACUCUCAUUGGACGCAACUUUCUUUCAAACAGUACUUUAAUAAAAAUUAUUUUAUUCAUUUUUUUUAUAACUAUGUAAUGGUACUGGUAUUUGGCAAUUACGAGUUACAAUUGUGCACUCAUUUCACUGUUUGCCUUUUGUUCUUUUUAUAUUUUAUGGAGUAUAUACUUAAUUUGGUUAUUUGAUGAAUGAUGCUUAUCAGUUCACUUGGUUCAAGUGUGGAGGAAUGUCAGUGGGACUCAGCUGGGCCCAUGUUCUUGGGGAUCCAUUCUCAGCUUCAACCUUCAUCAACACAUGGGGCAAAAUUAUGCAAGGUCACGUGCCAUCAAGGUCUCCCCACGUGCCAAACACUAAAAAAUCCAAAUACCCACUUUCAACGACAAGAAGGAAGCCAUUUUCCCUAAAACGGGUCGACCCAGUUGGGGACUCUUGGUUAAGUACCAAUAACUGUAAAAUGGAAACUCACUCUCUCCAUGUCACUGCAGAACAACUUGACGACAUACUAUCAGACAAUAUUCGUGGUCAAAAGCAGCCAACUGAGUUAUCCCAUUUCCAAGUCCUCUCUGCAAUAAUAUGGAAAUCUUUGUCCAAGGUUAGGGAAGAUUCAGGGCCAAGAAUUGUGACAAUUUGCACAGGAAAUUCUCGAGUCAAUGACCCUGAAGUUCCAAGCAACAACCUGGUGUUUAGCAUUAUUGAAGCAGACUUCUCGGUCGCGGAAGGAGAAAUCUAUGAAUUAGCGGAAUUGAUUGCUGAGAAGCAGGAGGAGGAGAAUAGCUUGAUAGAAGAUAUAGUAGAGAGCGACGAGGUUGAAUUCGACCGUAUAGCAUAUGGAACAAAUUUGACCUUUGUGGAUUUGGAAGAAGCAAAUAUUUAUGGGCUGGAAUUGAAGGGGCAGAAGCCUAUUUUUGCUAAUUAUUCCAUCAAGGGAGUCGGUGAGGGAGGAGUUGUUUUAGUGCUACCUGCAGGGCCAGGAAAUGGCAGUGGGAAAGUCAGUUCUGGGAGGACAGUGACAGUGACUUUGCCUGAAAAUCAACUUUCAAGGCUAAUGAAUGAGCUCAAGUUACACUGGGGUCUUGCUUGAUGCAAUAAAAAAAAGGCAUCUGCGGUUUUAAGAUUUCGCUUGUUCUGUUUUUGGAUUUGCCAUGUACUGCGAAGUAUGUGAUUUGGGGUGCUGUUAGUAGAGUGCAAACUACUUACGUUGACAAUCUACGAUUAGCAAAUAAUAUAGAUCACGAUUAUUAGCGUGUGUGGUAUUAUGGUAGUUUUUGUAGUUGUGGUGUGAAAAAAACAGUUUAAUAAAAAGUGUUUUUUGUGAGGUUGAUUUAAAAAAAAAUUGGUGUUUGGUUAAAACUGUGGUUGAAGUUGUGGUUUAAAAAAAAACAGUUUUUUGUGUUUGGUUAAAACACUGUGGUUGAAAUUGUGGUCGAAAAAAAGCAGUUUUGUGUUUGGUAAAACUGUGGUUAAAAAAAAAUACUUUCUUGUUUUUGGUUAAUAUGCUUUGUAUUUUAUAUUUGAUUUGAAUUAAUUAAAAGGACAUAUAUAAACACACAUAUAUAAUUCCAAAACAUAGGUGUUUUGUAAUUAUGAUUACAUAACAAAAUAAAAAAUCCUUAUACAUUAAUGUACUCCUUUAUUGUUCCAUUAAACUAUUUGCAAUUCCAUCGCGUACAAAAUCCAUACGUGAAGGCCUCUGUGAGCCUUGAACGGCCGAAGCCUGAACAAUAUCAGGUAAAAAGUCAUCUGGAAUUAAAUUGGAGUUGCGAUCAUACUCAGAAAAAACUGCAUCAUCUUGCGAACUCCUUCUAAUAUAGUUAUGUAGUGCUAUUGAUGCAACUACAAUCUCAACUUGUGUCUUGUAUGGAUAAGCAGGCAUGUUUUGCAAAAUUUUCCACCUCUAUUUCCAUACCCCAAAAGAACGUUCGAUCACGUUACGUAGUGACGAGUGUGCACGAUUAAACACUUCUUUCCGACCACUUGGUUGUCCACGACGCCUAAAUUCUUGGAAGUGAUACCUCUCGCCUUUGUAGGGACCCAAAUACCCAUACUCGUUUGGAUAUCCAGCAUCAACCAAAUAGUAUUUUCCUGCAAAAAAUAACAACAUAGUAAUUUUAAACAAAACUGGAAAAAAAUUAUAUUCCUUCAAUUACCAAAUCUUCAAUUUAGUCAAAAUCACAACCUUCCGGAGGUUUUGGAAAUUUGAUAUUGCUAUUGUCAAUAGCCUCAAGAAAAAUACGCGUAUCGUGUGCACUGCCUUCCCAUCCUGCCCACACGAACAUGAAUUGCAUGUCGAAACUACAAGCGGCCAUGACAUUUUGUGUUGGUACACCUUUUCUUCCAAUUAAUGGAAUUUGAUAUGCAGAUGGUAUGCAGGCACGAACAUGUGUUCCAUCAAUUGCACCGACACAAUUCUACAUGCCACGAAAACAUUUAUAAUACUCAUAAACAUUUAUAACAUAUUUCAUACUCCUCUGAACAACUUAAUUAAACUACUUAAUUAUAUAAAAAAAUUCAUCUUACCUUGAAAUGUGGCAUAAAUCUUGGAUUCAUAGCAAUUUCUCUUGGUGUGCUCGUAAAUUGUGGAUCUACUGGUUUUAUGACUUCCACAGCAAACAAACGUAAUGAUUUAAGCACUUCUUUAAAACAUCUACUAAUAGUUUCACCUGAAUGCUGGAAUCUUUCCUACACUUGUCUAUUUAACGCCCCAACUGCUAUUGUAAAUAGAAACAUUGCCACCUUUUCAAUAACGCUCAUUCUUCUUGACGGUUUUAAGCCAUGUUGCAUUUCUAAUUCGGUGCACAAACUCAACAAAGUGGUUGCGUCCAUCUUGAACAUGUUAACACUUCGUUUCCAAUGACCUCUUAAAACCUCCGACAACCAACGGAUCCCUGUGUUAUAGGAAACCAUACAUGGUUCUUUAUACAUAUAAUUAAUAUAAUACAUGUUUAUAGCUCCAACUGUGCAUAUAAUUAAUUUUUUCCUAUCAAAAUGCCUCCUUAUAAUAAAUGCAUCGUCACCAUCAUUGUCAUCGUCAACGUCGUCGUCAUCAUCAUCAUCGUCAUUACUGUCGUCGGAGUCGUUUCCAUUACUAUCAUCUCCGGCACCAUCAAUUGAAGCACCACUACCUUCAUAACUAGGAUAAUUAAUUUGGUCUACAAUGCGGUUCAUUACAUUAUCAUAAUUACCAUCGAAAUCUUCAUUAAAUAUGUCAUUAAAUCGUGGAUCAUCCAUAACUUCAAUUACAUGUAACAAGAAAAAAAAAUAUGUUGUUAGUAAAAAACUUUAAAUAAUUAAAUAUCAUUCAAUAAAAAAACUAUCAAAGAGUUGGUGCAACAUAAGUUUUUUCCAUACCUGUAAAGCCAACAAAAAAGGAGUAUUCUACUUGCUUGUAUAAAAUGCAAUUGAGAGGUUUGAGAAGCUUGUUAUGAAGAAAGCUAGUUCAGUGAAAAAUAUGAUGCAAACAUUCCUCUUUAUAUAAAAAAAUUUCAAUGCUCUUUACGUCUAUUUUACAAUUUUUGAGCUUUCAACAUAAGUACAUUCACAUGUAUGUAUAUGCUGUAAAAGUAGCAUAUAAUGUUACUUCUACAGCUCAUAUAUGUACACCAUCCUGACAUGUAGUCUUUCAAACCAGAGUUAAAAGGAAUAAAAACAGAGUUAAAAGUUAAAAACCAGCAGCAAGACCAAGCUUUCAGAAAAGAAAGAAACACCAACAACAUUAGUCCCAUCAUACCUCACGGCAGCAAAGAAAAAAACAGCAAUAGUAAACUGCAAAAGGGGUUUCUUUUCAGACAUCACAAGCUCAUAGUAGCUACCUAAUGGAAAAAAAUACAGCCAAGGAAAGAAUCACCAGCAGCAUGUCAAUCUCACAGUAGCUAACCAAUGGAAAAAAUUACAGCUAAGAAAAGAAACACAGCAGCAUGUAUUAUUAGUCCCAUCAGACCUCACGGCAGCAAAGAAAAAAACAGCAACAGUCAACUGCAAAAGGGGUUUCUUUUCAGACAUCACAAGCUCAUAGUAGCUACCCAAUGGAAACAAAUACGGCCAAGGAAAGAAUCACCAGCAACAUGUCAAUCUCACAGUAGCUAACCAAUGGAAAAAAUUACAGCUAAGGAAAGAAACACCAGCAACAUGUAUUAUUAUUCCCAUCAGACCUCACGGCAGCAAAGAAAAAAAUACAGGAAACAAAACAGUUAAGGUAAACAACCAAUUCCAUUAAAGGGUCAACCAUUUAACAUUAACCAUUGAACAUUGUAAUUCGUAGAUAAAAUACAACAUUACAACCAGCAAUUUCUCAACAAGUCUGUUAACUCCCGAAAAGCAGUUUAAUAAAUAUAACAGUACAUAAAUUACCGCAAACGGAUAUGCUCAUAUGUCUUAACAUGAAAUGUGGAAUAAUACAAUGUCUCAGACAAACUUCGGUAAAUGGAAACUACUCUUUUAAAAACCGGCAUCCCAUUACUCUGCAACAAAAAAAUAAACAUGUAUAAAUAUCGUAAGCACUUGAACAUAGUUAAUUGAUUAAUAGUUAAGAAACUUAAAUCAUACCAUGUCAGCUAAGCACGUUUAGUUCGUGCAUACAUUCGUUGCAACCAUCUCAACUUCUGUUGCUUAUCACCCAUACUGGCCCACAUUUCUCUUUUCCUUCUUAAACUGAGAUACUCCGUAGCGAAGUCAUGAAACUCAUCUUCAAUUGAAACUCCAGGAAUUGAGUGCAGCUCAGCCAUCACCUCGCGAAUACUACAACCUUCGCGAUCCAUAUUCAAAGAAGUCGAAUCACUCUUGGUCGACAUACUCUCAAGUAGAUGAUUGCACCUUGACAGCAGCUGAACACCAAUUCCAGCUGUUUUCUUCUUUCCACCUCGCACAUCAUAAUGAUCUCGUUCUUUUCUUUUGCCACCGCUUUUUGUGUUGCUGCUGCUAGACAUAUUUAUCCCUCCAACCAUUCGAGCCAUGUCAGUCUGGAAAUCUGGAAUCACAUCUUCCUCCGAAUCCCCGCUGCCCUCUUCCAAACCAUCAUACCCAAUGUCGGCAUUGCUUGUACCAGGAUCGACAUCACUACCAGCAGGUACACCUGAUGAAGGAGCCCAUGCAUACGCUUUAGUUGCGACAAUGUUGGAAUACAUUCGGUCAAAUUUAUUCUUCAAAGACGGCUCAAUACUGACAUGUUUGAAUUUUUUGGCUCCUCUAAUUUCCUGCAUAUAAAUUAAAUCAAGUAAUGAAGGAUCAGACUACUAAAAUUUUGGGGUUGGAAUUUGACAACAAUAAAAGAAAUUGUUAGGAUGACAAGGAAUGUACCUGAAUUUUUUGUUUCCACCACUCAUCGCUAGCUGUAAUUGUGCCUAACUCACUAUUCCAGCCAACACCAGUUUCAGAAACCAGCUUAUUCCAUAUCCUCCAAUCCUUUUUGCAUCCAUCCCAUUUGUUUUUCAACUGUGUUUUAGUGAAUGCAUGAUCAUUUUGUUCUUUGAAUGAUGUUAUAAGAAAUUUCCACCCCGUUUUAUCGAAAUGAGUAUUAGGUCUCAUUCCCAUAUCAAUUGCCUUAAUGCAUAUAUCACAAAAUAUAUGCAACAUUUCCUUUGUCCAAGCAGCCUUAUCAAAAGAUUCAAGACCUUCCAUGAUAUUUUUUUACUCAUUUAACAAAAGUUUGAAAUCAAUAAAUGAUAUGAAUUACAUUGUGGCACAUACAUAAACCGUGGACUUAAACACUAAUAAAACACUCAAUGUUCAGCAUUUACAAAAGCUGUGUGGUUAGCAACAAACAUUAACCAUGCAUGUAUUUGAAUGAGAAUGUUCAUGUUAAUUUGUAAUGAAAACUAAUUGAAACCCAUUAAUUUCAACUGUUCAGAAAACUCAGUUUCAGCCAUGAGAUAAUUUUUGAAUUAUCAAGCAACACUUCAUUGCCAUCAUGCUGUUUGGAAGCUAAAAAUAGAGGGAAAAAAACAAAUAGAACAGAAUCUAUUUCUACAUUCAAAGAAACCCAGCUUUCUUUCGCAGCAUGCAAACACAAAAAAAGGAAACUCAAAAUUCUGACUUUGACUGCACAAGUAGAAAUAAAAGUAAUCCUACACGACAUGCUAACAGGGCACUCAUUACGAUUACAAUAAACACACGCACAGUAAAGGCAUCAACGGUUGCUCAAACAGAAACAAUAUCAAUGUGUAUAGCAAACAUAUCAGACCAUGAAGAACAACAAAUAAAUGAAAUUUCAAAGCAUCACAUUGUUUCCAGUAAGCAAAUAAUCCAGUAGACAUAAAAAAACGAAACCAGAACAAAGAACAGCAUACAAGCAGUAUAUGGAAGCAAUUAAACUCUUUUAAAUUCAAAACAAAUGAUGAAGGCACAGUAAACAAAAGACAAUCAGCAACAGCUAUGGAAUUUAUCAAUUGUAGAACACACAGUAAUUGAUCAUGCAGGUACACAGACAUGCAAUUUUUCAUCUAAACAAUUGAAAAUGAAGAUGGAGAUAAGGCAGGAACUUACCUCAGUCUAUCUCUUUAGGUGUCCAAACCAGCAUGGUUCUGCAGCUUUGUCCUGUAAACAGAUACAAUGGAGACCCAGAAGAUAAAAUAGAUUUUGAGCUACAAUUACUACAAAAUUAACAUGGGUAACACAGUACACAGAAGCAUCACAGAAAUGCAGGUUUUCAAGUAGAAAAAAAUUAAAAACACAUGCAAAGCAGAGGACAAGCGGAAGAAGCAAUGAAAUUUGCUAUAAAUUCAAAAACUUUGAUGAAGGCACAGUAAUAAAUAGAACACAAGCAGCAACAACAAUGAAAUUUGUAGAUCANNNNNNNNNNNNNNNNNNNNNNNNNNNNNNNNNNNNNNNNNNNNNNNNNNNNNNNNNNNNNNNNNNNNNNNNNNNNNNNNNNNNNNNNNNNNNNNNNNNNNNNNNNNNNNNNNNNNNNNNNNNNNNNNNNNNNNNNNNNNNNNNNNNNNNNNNNNNNNNNNNNNNNNNNNNNNNNNNNNNNNNNNNNNNNNNNNNNNNNNNNNNNNNNNNNNNNNNNNNNNNNNNNNNNNNNNNNNNNNNNNNNNNNNNNNNNNNNNNNNNNNNNNNNNNNNNNNNNNNNNNNNNNNNNNNNNNNNNNNNNNNNNNNNNNNNNNNNNNNNNNNNNNNNNNNNNNNNNNNNNNNNNNNNNNNNNNNNNNNNNNNNNNNNNNNNNNNNNNNNNNGCUUGCUCCGGCGUUGGUGGUUUUAGGGCAAAAUAGAAAUGGGGUUGUAGCAAGAGAAGAGAGAGGAGAACAGUUUGGGGAAGGAAAUUAGGGUUUUAGUUCAUCAAUUAUACAUUGAUCUGCAACCGAAACAAGAAAAAAAAUUGUGAGGUUGCGAGGACCGUAAUUGACAGUGGUUACUAGGAAAGUUUCGGUGGUGAGAGAGAGGUGAAAUGCAUGAAGGAGCAGUUUAGGAAAAUGUUGAAACUAGGCGUUAUUGAUCUACAACAACCUUCCACCAUCAAUUUGUUGGGUUUUUUUUGUAACCAUUGGGAAAUUGAAAGAGGGACAAAGGACAGUUGGGAAAGUAAUUGUAAAAUUAUCGGUGAUGAGAGAGAGGAGAAACGCAUGAAAAGCAAUGUGUAAUUGCUUUUCAUUUUUUGCAAUUGAACCGCAGUUUGCAAUUGAACCGUAGUUUUAACUAGGACCCACAUAAAAACAAACUGUGGUUCGUGGUUAACCAAACAUGUGUGACACUGCUUUUUUUUCAACCGCAGUCGCACCAGCAUAUCCAAACACCAUCUAAAGCAUUUGAUAUAUAUAUAUAUAUAUAUAUAUAUAUAUAUAUAUAUAUAUAUAUAUAUAUUUGUGUUUGAUGGUUUGAUUGUCAUGCAAUUAAUUUAUUUUGGCAACAUACAUUACAGUGUAUUGAUCAAUGGAGUAAAAAAUGUCUACUUUUCAGUCUAGGUUGAUGAAUUCGGUAUUCUGAUUUGGCUUUGUUGAGGAUUGCUACAAAUGGACUGUAUUUCUGGAGACAGAUUGGGUAAUAUUUAAUGACAAGAAGUUCUAUGUACAUUUUUUGAUCAGUCAAAGGAUUUAGCAUCGCAAAUAUGAUUUGUGAAAUGGCAUGCAUUUAUGCUUUCCCGGACCAGGGAUUGGGCGGCCAACCCAUUCUCUGGACUUGGUUGGAUAUAUAAAAAAACUAACUUGGAGUUGGCCUAGUUUGACCUUAUCGACUAAGUUGGUCAACUUGUGAUCUAGCCAAAAACCUAUCAAAAACCCAGUUGACUUUUAAAAACAAAAUUAAAACACAUUGUUUUAAUUCUUUUUUAAAAUGUUGACUCGGGUCAACUUGGGAUAACCCACCUGAUCCCUGUCUUUGACCCGAGCCUUGUAUCAGUCGACCCUCGAGUUGAGUUUAAUAACUAUCCUUGACAGUUUCCAAAAUGAGCUAAAUCCCGAAUAGAGGGCAUCAUGAUGAUUCAUGACGACAAGGUCUUGCAAAGAAAAUCUUUUUAGUUCUUUAUUAGUAAUGAUGUUUGGAAAAGAAAUUUAGUACUAUGUUAGAGGAUAUUUUUUUAUUAUUGAAUAAAACAAUAUUGACAAAUAACCAGUAACUUUAACCAAUGAGUGUUGUAACCCAAGUAAUAAUUUUUUUCAUCAAGUGAUGAAGUCAUGAAAACUUCAGACAAGAAUUAGGCUUUUCAUAGAUGUAUCUUUGGGUUGUUGACUAGUCUUGACUUUGGUCCAAUAUUCACCUACAAAAUCAAGUGCUAUGUUGGAAUAGGGGAUCCUCUAAUGAUUAAUUUAGUAAAUGCAUGAGAAGAUAAUAAUAUAUCGUAGGAGAAAAUAGAAUGAAAUUACAUGGUAUAUGUAUACGUUUGUUCUGUGUUUCUGUCCAUGAACUUGUAUGACUUGGUGAAUAGUUAUUUGUGGUUCUAGGAAUUGUUGAGCUACUGGUGGCUCUGGGAAUUAUCGAGUGGUUGUUUACAGCUUUAGAAAUGGUUGAGUGGUCGUAUGUAUGAAGUUGCACGGUUUGGCCUUUAAUGGUUGUGAAUGGUGUGUGAAGUCAUGUGGACUAGUUUUUAUAUAAGAGGUCAUAGAAAUUUUGAUAAGGAUCAACCCAAUACCAAGCUUAAUCAUGCCAAAAACCCAUUGGAGAUGCCAAGUAGGCCAAUUACAAGAGAUAGGGCAAAGAAGCUUAAAAAGACAUUGAAUGUGCUUGCUUAGAACAUAUCAAACAAGAUGGACCUAGAGGAACUUGGGAUGCCUAGGGGAGUAUGCAGGACAACCACGAAGGACAACCUCUAAUUUAUCUAAUCCAAGUCCAAGAAGAGCCUAAUUCGUGUGGAUCAAAGGGUUGCCAGAUCAAAGAAAACUAAAUUGACAAGUAUAAAAGAGGGAGAUUUUCUUCGUUAAUUGUCCAUGCAAAAUAAAGAAACCAAGCACAACAAGGCAAGAAGACUUUAGAAUUAAUUCCAUAUUGAGAUCAAAUUGCCUAGUCUAUUUGGGACUUCUUAGGGGUGACAAAUCUGAUUCUAGUUUAUCUAGGAUAUUAAUUUUGGAUUUUUAUUAUUUUUAUUAUUUUCUUCUUAGUCUUUGGUUUAUUAUUACUUGUUUGUGUCAAUUGUAAGUGGGCUUCGUAUAAGUCCACAUAAGGGGGUUCAUUAGGGUUUAUUUCAAUCUAGAGUCAAUAUAAAUAAAACCAUAACCAGAUGUGUGGGGGGCAAUGCAAUUCAGAUUAAUAAAACUUCUUUGUUGCACCUUGUUGUGUGAGUUGGUGAGAAAUUCUUCCUUCCUUGGUUCUCUAAAGAACAAAAAAUGACUUAUUGAAGAACAACUAACUUCGUGGCGCCAUCCUUAUACUUCUCGUUCAUGAAUCAAUAUUCGUUGGGUAGGGGUUUUUUGUUUCCAAUAAUGCUAGUGCCUAGAUACAAGUUAUAUUUGUAUCACACUCCUAUCAAACCUAAUUUACUUGGCUUUUCUGGAAAUUGGUGUAUUUGCAUGUUGGUUGCUUGACCAUGUGUUCAAGAGGCUCGCAUCAUUUGAUAUCAGAGCUUGGCUCCAUUAAUCAAGUUAUAUCAAUAUGAAAUUGUCGUUUCUCGUUGAUUUCUUAGUGUCUAAUUUCUUCUUCUCCUUGAAUUUUUGGCAUAUAAAAAAAAAGUUUGUUAUUUCAUUCUGUUACUGUCCAAAAUAUAUCAUUAGCAUAAAAAAAAAGAGAAAAGAAAAGAAAAGGUUGUUCAAAAAGACACUUAUGUGCUUCUGUCGUAGAAAACUAAAUAAGGGGAAAUUGGAUCAACUCAACUUAGAAUUAGCUCAAAUUUGAUACUCUGAUUACUAGGGUCCUAAUCGCACUACAUAUUAAUUUUGGGAUCAAUUGGAUAUCAUUUUCUUAGGUUUUGAAUUUCGAGUUUAAUCAAGUUUGAUUCAUAAUGUUUUUGCGUUAGCAUAUCAAACCUUAUCAUAAAUUAUUCAAAUUUAAUAUUCUAUCUAUUUGGGUUGAAAUGACACUAUAUCUCAAAUUUUAACUUAAUUGGACAUCAUUUACCUUAGAUUUUAGAUUCAGACUGAACUUGUCAUAAACGAGUCUGUUUUUGCGUCAACUUGUGAAACUCGUUUUGUUUUUGUUGUUUUCAUUUCUUAUAGUAUAUUUACAACAUAUCUAACAUAUUUGGGUGUUGUUCCAUCGUAUUGCAUACUUCAUUUCUAUUUUUAUUCGAGUCUUGAGUUUCAUUCAUAUUUCAGAUAAAUUCGCUUGCUACUCGCGAGACUAUCAUUGCAUUUUCAUUUUGCUUGCUUUCUGUGUUUUUAUUGCUUCUUGAGUCAUAUACACCUGUUGUGAUGUCGCGGUCACACAAAUUAAUUACCCUAGCUUAAAACACAACACACAAGAUAGUAUAGAGCAAGGAAGGGAUCGAUCCCACGAGGAAGGUUCAAGUCAAAUUUUUAUACUAGAUGAUAUGCAAUUUGAGGGGGGGGUUUGGAGGUUAUCUAGGCUAAAGCAAAAGUAAACAAAAAACUAUCAAGUGAAAUUAAAUAAAAUCAGAAAAUUAUCAAGCGAACAAACCUUAGUUUCAAGUAAACGUCCACCUACAAAAAUCAAAACUAAUCAUGGAAACGAAACAUCAAUUUAUACUCUGAAUAUUUAACUUUUCUUAUAUUGAUUAGUUAACAGAUCCGUUGUAUAACUAAUUCUAACCAUCAAACAACCACAAUGUCCGCACUAGUAAUUUAAUUCAAUGGCAGCGUUAAGAACUAGAUGAGUUGAUUAAUCUAGACAACAUAACUGUCCGUAGUCCAUGUUUGAUUUGAUCAAUCGAAUGUUCUCCCUAAGGUUAAUAACAUAGAUCCGCCACAAUUAUUAAACUCAAUUGCUUCACAAGUUCGUAUACCACAACUCCAAUUUUGAUAUCGAACUUAGCAAUAGAUUGUCUACAAUAAUAACUUAGAGUCCACUCUAGCAAUUAGAAUAAACAAUCAUAGGAAAAAUAAGCAUAGGAGAAUAAAUAUAUUCAUCAUAUAAACUAAAAAGAAAAUGUAAAAUAAAUCUCACAGUUCUUGAAAUCCGAAGGUUUCCGUGUCUUUGCAACCAAGAAAAAGAGUUUAGCCUUGCAUGUCUACUAAACAAUUAAUCAAAAAGAAGGAAGAAAACAUGAUUUCGGGUUCUAUUAGAGGAAUAUGCAUUUUUUCUCUAUUGGUUGGCCGUCUUCCCUUUUCCUUUCUCUCUUUCUUUUUAUAUCCUAGAAAACCCUAAUCGCUUUUUUACAAAAUAGUCCUUUUCUAAGUUGACAAUUUACAUUUAAGCCUUUCAAUAACUAUUUUCCUAAAAAAAGAGAAAUAGCCUUGCAUAAAAUCUUCAAGCUUUGAAUUUUGACUUAGAGGAGCUAAAUUUUUGAAAUAAAGACUUGGAUGACGGUUUGGAUGCUUUGAGAAGUACUUUGGACUUGUUUCUUCACAAAACCUGUCUGCUGGCAGAAUUCAUGUGUCAUCUUAGAAAAAUCAUAUCUCUCUCAUAUGAGCUCUUUUUCUACUAACCUUUGGUAGACUAAUAAUUCUUCAAGUCAGGAAUCCAACAACAUUGAGUUUGCAUCAAAUGGACUUCUGUAGCUCAAGAUAUUCAAGUCAGAAUGGUCGAAGGUCAACAUUGGCAAAAUUUAAGAUUUGACUUUGAAGGCUGCGAUUUUCAUGCUCUUUCUUUUUUUAUUUUUAUUUCCUUAUAGGUAUAGAAAUGUAUGGAUGUUAGCUUUCUAAUGCCACUGGAAUUACUUCAUUUCGACCCCUAGAGCUCAAGCUCUGCACAAAACAUCGACUAGAAGUCAAAUAUACCAAUUAUCUCCAAUUUACUUCUUUUUGAAUCUUUCAUCCAGAAGUGCCUUCAAAACAUAAAACAAAUAAUAUCAAAGCAUUUUAUGUAUAAAACAUAGGCAAAACACUAGGUAAAUAUUGGUACAACUAUCAAAUAAUUAGGUUGCAUCAACACCUAUUUGGAUUGUGCCGACGGGUUGUUUCUAUUUAGUGUUGGUUUUAGUUCCGCAAGAGCUGAAAGAAGGUAAGCGAGGGGAUAAGCCUAAUUUUGAGUGAAACACUAGCGACAUAUGGAUAUUUUUAUACCACUAACUGAUUAGUACUUAAAAUUGCAUUUUUAUCAAGGUUUUAUAUCAUCAUUUUGCACUUGAAGUAUCAAUAACUCUUUAACUAAAGUAUGUUUUAUAAUAACAAGUCUGAUACCAUAAGAUACCUUUAAUUUAUGGUAAAUGUUUAUCUUAAAUGCAGGCCAAUCACAUAAAUAAAAGGAUUGAUUGAUGAGUUUAAGUACUGAAAUUGAAAGGACAAAGAGAGGGCCAAACUUAGAAAAGAGAUGCUGGUUCAGUCCAAACUGGAAUACUGUUCGGUCAUCGGGUCAUAUCUAGAGUUGUAGAUCUUGGAUUUAGGUCUGCUUUAUAUGGAUGGAAAGCUAAGACAUAGGCAUAAAACUUUCAUGUGGAGUCCAAGAUUUAAAAAGGUCGUUUUCAAGUCCAAAUUGUAGCAACAACGGAGAAGUCCGAAUCUGUCCUGCAGCCCAGAUACUGUUCAGUGUUUAGCCCAUAUCUUGAGUUGUAGAAGUCCAAAUGACCUUUUUUUUGUUAGAAAGCUGAGACAAUUUCCUAGAACUUUCAUGAUUCAAGUCUGUUUGAAUUAUGACAUUAGCAAUGACAUUUUAUUCAGACAAGAAGAUAAGGAUUGUCACCAAGUCAAGAGUUGGCCACCCACUCAAUAAUUAGUCAUCAAAUCAAUAGUUCCAAAUUUUGGCCUAUAAAAGGAGGCAUUUGCCAUGCAUUUAGGUGCUUGGUUGUUCAGAUCAAGAUCUUGCUCUUGCUCUCUCUCUCUCUCUUUAUAUUUUUGUAAUGCUUAAGUUUUACUUUCAUUAAUAUCAUGUUUAUGCUUUUCAUUUUGUUUCUUUUACUUAGUCAACUUGUAUCUUAUUUAUGUUCUUAUCUUGUUUAUUUAUGUUUCUCUUCUUCAUUAUGUUUAGCUAAGUUUAUUAUGUCAAGGUGAAAAGGUUACACUAAUGGUGUAAGAAUAAGUAUAAUAUAAACUCAAUAUGAACUUCAAUGCUUAUAUCCUAAACAACUUGCUAUUAACGUGUCUUAUCAUUUUUAUCUUAUUAAUUCAUAAUACCUUGCUUGUUAAAUGGUUAAUCUAGAUUUGUGUUGUAUAACACUUGGUACAACAAAUGCUUGACACUUUCAUAGCCAACUGUAUGGUAUAACCUAUACCUGUGCUAUGAAAGGAACUUGAUUUGUUGUUAACAUAAGUUAGCAUCAUGAAUUCUUGACAAUAUUUAAAAGUUUGGUGUUACUUAAAUAAGAUAAUUAAUAUGAUCAUGUUAACAAUUUAUAAUGAGCUAUUAAUGACAAAUCAUCCGAUUGGAACCUCCUUUGUGUGUGGUUUCCAGUUGAGUAAUAAAAAAAGUUUAUACUAUACUUGUUUGAAAUUCCAUUAGUGGAUCCUCUAACCUUGAUAUUUGUUUUUAUCAGUGUUUAAUCCUUGCAUUAAUCUUACAUCUCAAAGUCCUCUUUAACUUAUUAUUAUUAUUAUUGUUAUUGUUGUUGUUGUUGUUGUUGUUGUUGUUGUUAUUGUUAUUAUUGUUGUUGUUAUUAUUAUUAUUAUUUAUUAUUUAUAUAGUUAACCUCCAUGUGGUUCGACUCCGGUCUUGCCGGGUUAUUUAUUACUUCGACACUCCUACACUUGGGAGAAGACAUCAAUCUUUUGGUCGUGUCAGUUACCCUUUUGAAAUUGUUAGAUGUUCGUGUUGUUAUAUUUAUUGUAAUAUUCAAAUUUCAAUAAUAUGUAUUUUGUUUCAGGAUCAUCGCAUGCACGACAGGAGUAGAUCCUAGCUUAUGUUCCCUUCUUGUAAUCUAGGUUCUAGGGAGUAUACCCUUGUAUUUUGUAAACAUGAAAAUGUUUGUAUAACUUAAUUUGUAUAAUUAAUGUUUAAACUUGAUUAAAUGAACUUAACUAUGUGGUUCAUAUAACCAUAUUCAUGACUGUGUCUUUAUUUUUUAUCCAUCCAUAAUGAUAUUUUGUUAUAAAAUGUAUAUCAUAAAUAUUGUGGUUGAUAGGUGUGAUAAUAUUUGUGGAAUUGAAACCCAGGAUGAUUGGGUUAUGAUAUGCAAAUUAUUAGAAGUAUAAACAGGUUACAUGUCGAUAACUUGAGACCUUCUAGUAUAGGGGGGACUCUGUCGAAAUUUCGGUAGAUUUUAAAACCAUGAAUAUAUAUAUAUAUAAAUUAAUUACUCUGUUUUUCAGUUGACAUGAGAUUGUUGUUUUUAUCUCGGAAUGGGGGAUGUUACAGUUUGGUAUCAGAGCUCGGGUUGCUAUUCCGGGGACAGGAAUGAUUAUAUGAUUUUGAAAUGUGUUUCAGGAUGGUGAGAACAAGGCAAGGAGCCAGGACUGAUCCAUCCCCAGUUCGGGGAAGUGACCAGAGUUUUUGAAAUGAAAGUGAUCCAGACUGGGAUCCCUUGGCAGACACCUCCUCUCAUAUACCUGCAACAUCAGUGUACUCUGAAGGUGGCGAGUCAGUGAGACUUCGAGAUGAUUCGUUGUCCCGUCACACAAAUGUAUUGUAAACCCCGGGGAAAAAAUAAAGGUUGCUUGGAUUGCAAACUAACUACAUGAGAAAUAAAAGUGAAGAAAUUCAUGCAUAUGGUUAAAUAAAAACGGGAAUUCAUAAAUUUUUGGAGAUAAGUUUCUGGAUGAAAUUUUUCGAGACAUUAUAAAUCAACCCAAAAAUGUUGAGGGUUGGAUUAAAUUAAAGAAAAUAAACUAAACUAAAAGUUGUGGGGUGAAAUUAUAAGAAAUGAAAAUAGGUAUAACUUAACUAUAAGAAGAAGAAAAAAAGAUGUAGGGGCCUAAAUGCAAAUAAGAAAAAUUAUAGGGCAUAAAUACUCCUAUUCUCAUCAAAAUCUAUAGAAAUCAUAAGGAAAGAAAAAAGGAAGUUUUUGUAUUCAUUCUUGCAAAAUCAAGAGAGAACCACCAAAAUUUCAAGAAAACCAUCCAAGAUUAAGGGUUUAUAGAUGGAAUAAACACUUGUGGGCAAGAGAUUAACAAGGAAAUUGAACAAGAAGAGAAGAUGGAGGGCUGGCUAUCAUUACAUAAGAAAGGAGGGAGUUGAAAAAAAUAUUCAACUGGUUGAAGAUCAAAACCUUCAUUCGUACCAGGUAAGGUGUUCUAAACAUGAUCUUAUAAGUCAUUUCAAAUUCGAUAAUGAAUUGAUGCCUUGAUGUGAAUUAUAGAUUAAGGUUCUUAGACUUGAAAGUGCAUUUUUAUCAAGGUUUUAUAUCAUUAUUUUGCACUUGAAGUAUCAAUAACUCCUUAACUAGAGCAUAUUUUAUAAUAACAUGUCUAAUAAUAUAAGAUACCUUUAAUUUAUGGUAAAUGUUCAUCUUAAAUGCAGGCCUAUCACAUAAAUCAAAGGAUUGAUUGAUGAGUUUAACUACUGAAAUUGAGAAGACAAAGAGAAGGCGAAGCUUAGAAAAGAGAUGCUGGUUUAGUUCAAACUGGAACACCAUUCGGUUAUUGGAUCAUAACUGGAGCUGUAGAACUUGGAUUUAGGUCUAGUUUAUAUUUAUGGAAAGCUAAGUUAUAGGCCUAAAAUUUUCAUGAGAGUCUAAGAUUCAAAAGAACCAUUUUCAAGUUCAAAAUGCAGCAAUAACGGAGAAGUUGGAAUCUGUCCUGCAGCCCAGACACUGUUCAGUGUUCAGCCCAUAUCUCGAGUUCUAGAAGUCCAAAUGCAUCGAUUCUUAUUUUGUUGGAAAGGUGAGACAAUUUCCCAGAACUUUCAUGAAGAAUAUCUGCUCAAAUUAUGAUAUUAGCAAUGACGUUUUCUGCAGACAAGAAGAUAAGGAGUGUUACCAAGUCAAGAGGUGGCCACCCACUCAACAAUUAGUCAUCAAAUCAAUAGUUCUGAAUUUUGGCCUAUAAAAGAAGGCAUUUGCCAUGCAUUUAGGCAUCUUGCUUUUCAGAUCAAGAUCAUGUUCUUGCUCUCUCUCUCUCUCUUUAUAUUUUUGUAACGCUUAAGUUAUGUUUAUAUUAAUCUCUUGUUUAUGCUUUUCAUUUCCUUUCCUUUACUUAGUUAACUUAUAUCUUAUUUAUGUUUUUAUCUUGUUUAUUUAUGUUUCUCUCUUUCAUUGUGUUUAGCUAAGUUUAUUAUGUCAAGGUGAAAAGGAUACACUAAUGGUGUAAGAAUAAGUAUAGUAUAAACUCAACAUGGACUUUAAUGUUUGAUACUAACAUGUUUUGUAUUUGUUAUCUUGUUCACUUUUAAUACUUUAUUUGUUAAAUGGUUAAUCUAGAUUUAUGUUGUAUAACCCUUGGUAGAACAAAUACUUGGCACUUUCAUAGCCCAACCGUAUGGUAUAACCGACAUCUGUGCUAUGAAAGAAACUUGAUUUGUUAAACUCAACAUGGACUUUAAUAUUUGAUACUAAUAUGUUUUGUAUUUGUUAUCUUGUUCACUUUUAAUACUUUGCUUGUUAAAUGGUUAAUCUAGAUUUAUGUUGUAUAACCCUUGGUACAACAAAUACUUGACACUUUCAUAGCCCAACCGUAUGGUAUAACUGACACCUGUGCUAUGAAAGAAACUUGAUUUGUUGUUAACAUAAGUUAUAAUCAUGAAUACCUGACAACAUUUACAAGUAUUAGCAUUAUUUGAAUAAGAUAACUAAUGUAAUCAUGUUAAUAAUUUAUAAUCCGAUUGCAACCUCCUUUGUGUGUGGUUUCCAGUUGAGUAAUAAAAAGAGUUUAUACUAUACUUGUUUGAAAUACCAUUAAUGGAUCCUCUAACCUUGACAAUUAUUUUAUCCUUGUUUAAUUCUUAUAUCAAUAUCACAUCUCAAAGCUCUCUUCAACUCCUUUUCUGUUAUUAUCUAUUUCUUUAUUUGUAGUUUAUACAGUUAACCUCCCUGUGGUUCGACCCCGGUCUUGCUUAUCAAUAUCACAUCUCAAAGCUCUCUUCAACUCCUUUUCUAUUAUUAUCUAUUUCUUUAUUUGUAGUUUAUACAGUUAACCUCCCUGUGGUUCGACCCCGGUCUUGCCGGAUUAUUUAUUACUUCGACACUCCUACACUUGGAAGAAAACAUCAACUCUUUGGUCGUGUCAAGUUUUUGGCGCCGUUGCCGGGGAGGUAAAUUCUUGUAUAAAUUAUAAUAUUUAUUUUAUUUUCUCUUUUCACUUUUUGUUUUAUCUAACUUUUAUUUCGUUUAUUUUGUUUUGUUUUAUUUUGUUUCCUUUCCUUUCCUUUUCUUCCUUUUAUUCUCUUCCUACACGUGCAUGAGAGUUUGGUCACGUACAUUAAGUGGUAAACUUUGUAGGGUAUCCUCAUCAUUUUCAGAAAAUAUGGCCGAAAAAGAUAACCAGUCACUUCAUAAUGAGAAUAAUGAGAAUAAGUGUGUUAGAACACUUAGAGACCACAUGAAUCCCACAAGAACAAGUGUGCCCUCAUGCAUAGUUUCCCCCCCUGAUGCAUCUCAUUUUAAUUUUAAGCCAGACAUUAUUCAACUUUUACAUUCUUUUCAUGGCUUAGAUCUAGAAAAUCCAUACUUGCAUUUGAGAGAAUUUGAGGAGGUCUGUAACACCUAUAAUGACUUAAAUUGUAGCAUGAACACCAUCAGAUUAAAGCUUUUUCCUUUUUCAUUAAAAGAUAAAGCUAAAACAUGGCUACAAAAUCUUAGGUCAGGAUCCAUUCGUGCUUGGGAUAAAAUGCAACAACAAUUUUUAAAGAAGUUUUUUUCGUCUCACAUAACAAACUCUUUCAAAAGACAAAUCACAACAUUCACUCAAAAACUAGGAGAAACAUUUUACCAAUGUUGGGAUAGGUAUCGAGACUUGCUUAAUCCUUGCCCUCAUCAUGGUUUUGAAACAUGGAGAUUGGUUUCAUAUUUUUAUGAAGGGUUAACACCUAAAGAUAGACAAAUGGUGUAAUUGAUGUGCAAUGGAACUUUUCAAGAUAAAGACCCUAAUGAAGCAAUUGAGUACUUAGAUUUGCUAGCUGAAAAUGCUCAAAAUUGGGACACUGCAUGUAACAUCCCCCAUUUCUGAGAUAAAACCACAAUCUCAUGUCAAUAGAAAAACAGAGUAGUUAAAUUUUUUUUUUUAUAUAUAUACAUAUUCACGGUCUUCGUGUUAACAUCUACCAGAAAUUUCAACGGAGCCCCCCUAUACCGGAAGGUCCCAAUUUACCGACAUGUAACCUGUUUAUACUUCUAACAGUUCGCAUCUCAUAACUUAAUUUCCGACCCAAUCAGCCUGGGUUUCAAUUCCACAAUUAUACUCACACCUAUCAACCAUAAUAUUUAUGAUAUGCAUGAUAUAACAAAAAUAUCAUUAUGGAUGGAUAAUUUAAAUAAAUAUAAAUUCAUAGACAUGAAAUAUGGUUAUAUAAACUACAACGUUAAAUUCAUCCAAUCAAGUUUAAACAUUUAUUAUACAAAUUAAGUUAUACAACCAUUUUCAUGUUUACAAAAUACAAGGGUAUACUCCCUAGAACCUAGACUUCAAAAAGGGAACAUAAGCUAGGAUCUACUCCUGUCGUGCAUGCGAUGAUCCUGAAACAAAAUACAUAUUAUUGCAAGGUGAAUAUUUCCAUAAAUAUAACAAUAUGAAUAUCUAAUAAUUUCAACAGGGCAACAUGCAUUCAUAUUUCAUUUAUUUCUCCCUUCUAGUUUUUUUUUUUUUUAAAUCUCUUCCUUAUUCAACUAUUAAUAAUCGUCCCCUCUGUCGUUAUCAACCUUCAUUCCAGACAUCAACGUGAUUACUUUUGCUUAUCCCAUUACCGAUACCAAUUUCACUGGUAUCGUCAUCACCACCCCAUAGGAGUCGAUAUAAGGCGAUCCCUUUACCCGGAAUCCUAACAUACACUAAAUGUAUGCUGGCCAUUCCAUGGUGAUCCCCUUACCCAGGAUCCUAACAUACACUGAAUGUAUGUUAGCCAAUACGUGGAGAUCCCCUUACCCGGGAUCCUAACAUACACUCCCGGGAUCCUAACAUACACUCAAUGUAUGCUAGACAAUACAUGGUGAUCCCCUUACCCGGGAUCCUAACAUACACUAAAUGUAUGCUGGCCAUUCCAUGGUGAUCCCCUUACCCGGGAUCCUAACAUACACUGAAUGUAUGUUAGCCAAUACGUGGAGAUCCCCUUACCCGGGAUCCUAACAUACACUAAAUGUAUGGUAGUCCAUUCGUGACGAUCCCCUUACCCGGGAUCCUAACAUACACUAAAUGUAUGCUAGCCAAUACAGGGUGAUCCCCUUACCCGGGAUCCUAACAUACACUUAAUGUAUGCUAGUUUAUGCCUCAAAUCACACUUAUCAUAUUUUCCUUUUUCAGUAAUAAUUUCAUCACUUGGCAAUUCACAUAACAACUUUUCACCUUGAAUACACAUACAUUCAGUAAUUUACAUUUCACAUCAAAAUAUAUUAAAUCAUGGAAUUUAACUAGGAAGCAUAGGUGUGAAUCACCUAUCUGCAAUAGAAGCUCUACUCGUGCUCCCCUGCUGCUGCUGUUGCACCACGUCUGUGGUCCCUCCUGCAAAUCACAGGUUUAUCUCAUAAUUUUCUUCACUCAAGGAUAUGUUUUAUAAUAACCAUAUCAACAACCAAUAAGUCUUUCUUUUAGUCAUUUCUUAGUACUUUAUGUUUUUCUCAUUUCACUCAUUAUUACUGUCGUUCUUUUUCCAAUCCUAGUUAUCAUUCCUUUCUUUAUAUUUGGACUUUCACUGUCCAACUGUUACUGCUUCCUCUUUGAACUGUUACUGUCUGACCUCUCCUCAGAUUUUUAACUAUAUCUGGAGUUAUAGAACUCCGAUUCAAGCGAAAUUUGUGGCAUUGGAAAGGUAAGACAUGAGGCUACAAGUUCUAUGUUUUGGGAAGAACCCAGUUCUGCCUCUAAGGUAGUCAAAAUUGCUCAUUAACAAACGCUUGGACUGUUACUGUCCAACUGUUACUGUCCAUUUUUGAACUGUUACUGUCUGACCUUUCCUCAGAUUUUUUACUAUAUCUGGAGUUAUAGAACUCCGAUUCAAGCAACAUUUGUGGCGUUGGAAAGGUAAGACAUGAGGCUACAAGUUCUAUGUUUUGGGAAGAACCCAGUUCUGCCUCUAAGGUAGUCAAAAUCGCUCAUUAACAGACAUUUGGACUGUUACUGUCCAACUGUUACUGUCCAUUUUUGAACUAUUACUGUCUGACCUCUCCUCAGAUUUUUAACUAUAUCUGGAGUUAUAGAACUCCUAUUCAAGCGAAAUUUAUGGCGUUGGAAAGGUAAGACAUGAGGCUACAAGUUCUAUGCUUUGGGAAGAACCCAGUUCUGCCUCUAAGGUAGUCAAAAUCGCUCAUUAACAGACGUUUAGACUGUUACUGUCCAUUUUUGAACUAUUACUGUCUGACCUCUCCUCAGAUUUUUAACUAUAUCUGGAGUUAUAGAACUCCUAUUCAAGCGAAAUUUGUGGCGUUGGAAAGGUAAGACAUGAGGCUACAAGUUCUAUGUUUUGGGAAGAACCCAGUUCUGCCUCUAAGGUAGUCAAAAUCGCUCAUUAACAUAUGCUUGGACUGUUACUGUCUCAUUUUUGAACUGUUACUGUCUAGACAUUGAACUAUUACUGUCUUGAACUGUUACUGUCAAGAUAUUGAACUGUUACUAUCUCAUUUUUGAACUGUUACUAUCUAGACAUUGAACUAUUACUGUCUUGAACUGUUACUGUCAAGAUAUUGAACUGUUACUGUCUCAUUUUUGAACUGUUACUGUCUAGACAUUGAACUAUUACUGUCUUGAACUGUUACUGUCAAGAUAUUGAACUGUUACUGUCUUAUUUUUGAACUAUUACUGUCUAGACAUUGAACUGUUACUAUCCGACCUCUCCUCAGAUUUUUAACUAUAUCUAGAGUUAUAGAACUCCGUUGCAAGCAAGAUUGGUCUCGUUGGAAAACUAAGACAUGGGGCUACAAGUCCCCUGAGGAAGGAGAACCCAGUUCUGCCCAUAAGAUAGUCAUAAUUGCUCAUAAAAAAAAAUCAGACUUACUGCUCUACAGGGUCUGUCAUGACCCAGUCUCGGUUGAUAACCCAUAACUGGAGUUCUACAGCUCUAAAUUGAGCAAGACCAAUUUCCUUAGUUAGCUAACAUCCAAAACUAUAAUUUCUAUGUGGGACACUGGUUCUCCCUCAUCCUCCUAUCCAAAAUCUUACUGAAAGUCAGGAGACGAGUCUGUCCAGAUUCGUCACCCCCCCUUCCCUUCACACAUAAAUUUCCCAAACUAUAUUUUUUGGGUAAUUAUCAUGGUUUCACGUCCCCAAUCACAUACCACACAUGAAUUAACUUAAUUUUUACAACAAAUACUUUUCCCCCAAAUUUAAGUCUAAGAAUCCUAAUCUAUAAUUCACAUCAAGGCAUCAAUUCCUUAUCGAAUUUAAAAUGACUUAUAAGAUCAUGUUUAGAACACCUUACCCGGUACGAAUUAAGGUUUUGAUCUUCAACCAGUUGAAGAUUUUCAACUUCCUCCUUUCUUAUCUAAUGAUAGCCAGCCCUCCAUCUUCUCUUCUUGUUCAAUUUCCUUGUUAAUCACUUGCCCACCAGUGUUUAUUCCAUCUAUAAACCCUUAAUCUUGGAUGGGUUCUUGAAAUUUUGGUGUUUCUCUCUUGAUUUGUAGAAAUAGAUACCAAAACUCCCUCUCUUCUUUUUUCACAAUAGUUGCAGAUCUAUUUUUGGUAAGAAGAGUAGUAUUUAUGCUCCAUAAUUAUUCUUAUUUGCAUUUAGACCCCAUUUUCUUUAAAUGUAUUCGUUUUGCCCCCACUUCUUUUUAGUUUAUCUUAUUUUCUUUAAUUUAAUCCAACCCUCAACAUUUUCGGGUUGAUUUAUAUUGUCUCGAAAUAUUUCGUCCAUAAACUUAUAUCCAAAAAUUUCUAAAUUCCCGUUUUUAUUUAACCAUAUGCAUGAAUUUCUUCACUUUUAUUUCUCAUGUAGUUAGUUUGUAAUCUAAGCAACCUUUAUUUUUCCCCGGGGUUUACACUGCAGGCACUUAUGAGGCACCAAGUAAAACUCAACCUCAUACAUCUAGUGGAGGAAUGUACAACCUUAGGGAAGAUCAUGACCUCCAAGCCAAGUUACCAUCUUUAGCUAGAAAAUUUGAGGCACUAGAAUUGAAAAAGAGUGGUCAAUUAAAAUCUGUUCAAGACAUUGUGUGUCAAAUUUGUGAAACCAAUGAACACUCAACCAAUAACUGUCCAACUUUGCCUGCUUUCAAGGAAUGCCUCCAUGAACAAGCCCAUGCUUUAAACAGUUUCCAAAGGCCCAAUCAUAACCCAUACUCACAAACAUACAACCUUGGUUGGGGAAAUCACCCAAAUUUCAGUUGGAAGAGUGAUAACAAUAAUGCACAAAUUUCACAGCCACCGUUUCAAGCACACCAUAAUUUCCAAAAUUCUCAUGGAUAUGCACCUCCUUAUGCUCCACCUCCUAUAAGAAAUCUUGAGGAAACAUUGUAUGCAUUCAUUGAAAAGCAAGAGACAAUCAACACUCAACUUGCUCAAAAGCAUGACAAAUUUUAAAGAUACUCUUUCAAAGUUCACAUCUGUCUCACUUUUCAGGAGAAAGGUAAGUUCUCAUCUCAACCACAGCAAAAUCCCAAGGGGCAAUACAAUGCAAAUGCAAGUAGUUCCAGAAGCAAACACAUGGAUGAAGUCAAAUCAGUCAUCACUCUUCGUAGUGGUAAGGUUAUUGAAAAACCCACUCUUGAACCUUGUGAAAAAGAUGAUGAGUCAAUCUCUAAGGGUAAGGAAGGGGUUGAAUCUAAACAUUGCAAAGAAAAGACUGAUUCUCCGCCAGCACUUUCAUUUCCUCAUGCCAUGACCAAACAAAGGAAAGUCAAUCACAACUCUGAAAUAUUUGAAACUUUCAAGCAGGUAAGGAUCAAUAUACCUUUGUUGGAUGCUAUUAAACAGGUACCUUGUUAUGCUAAAUUUUUGAAAAACUUGUGCACCGUUGAUUAGUACUUAAAAGUGCAUUUUUAUCAAAGUUUUAUAUCAUUAUUUUGCACUUAAAGUAUCAAUAACUCCUUAACUAUAGCAUGUUUUAUAAUAUCAUGUCUAAUACUAUAAGAUACCUUUAAUUUAUGGUAAAUGUUCAUCUUAAAUGCAGACCUAUCACAUAAAUCAAGGGAUUGAUUGAUGAGUUUAACUAUUGAAAUUGAGAAGACAAAGAGAGGGCUAAGCUUAGAAAAGAGAUGCUGGUUCAGUCCAAACUGGAACAAUGUUCAGUCAUUGGGUCAUAUCUGGAGUUGUAGAUCUUGGAUUUCAGUUUGGUUUAUAUGGCUAAAAAGCUAAGACAUAGGCCUAAAACAUUUAGGAGAGUCCAAGACUCAAUUCUAUUGUUUGGGAGUUCAAAUCUUAGCAUCAAAAGAGAAGUCUGAAUCUGUCCUGCAACCCAGACACUAUUCAAUGUUCAGCCCAUAUCUCGAGUUAUAGAAGUUCAAAUGCGCCGAUUCGUUUUUUGUUGGAAAGCUAAGACAAUUUCCUAGAACUUUUAUGAAGACAAUAUGUUCAAAGUCUGACGUUAGCAAUGACUUUUGUUCAGACAAGAAGAUAAGGAUUAUCACCAAGUCAAGAUGUGGCCACCUACUCAACAAUUAGUCAUCAAAUCAAUAGUUCCAUGAUCAGUUCUGAUUUCUGUAGGUGGAUGUGUGCUUGCGACCAAGGUUUGUUCUCUUGAUAAUUUUAUGAUUUUAUUAAAUUUUGUUUGAUAGUUUUAUGUUUUCUUUUGCUUUAGCCUAGAUUACGUCGAAACCCCCCCCGAAAAAAAUAAAUUACAUAUCAUCUAGCAUAAAAAUCUGGCUUGAACCUUCCUCGUGGGAUCAACCCCUUGCUUGCUCUAUACUAUCUUGUGUGUUGUGUUUGAAGUUAGGGUAAUUAAUUUGUGCGACUGCGUCAUCUCAACAAAUUUUGGCGCCGUUGCCGGGGAAGUAAUUUUAGUUGAUUCUUGUGCUAUUAUUUUUAUUUGCUCUCAUUGUUAUUUAUUUUUUUGAAAAAAAAAGAGAAACAGAAUUUUUGCUUGUUGCGGUACUGUUCAUUUACGGCAGUGGUACUGUUCAAAACAGAUGUUUUGGUGGAAUUAGGUAUCGUUCUUUUUUUUCCUAAAGGGAAACGACGUUCUAAACAGGACUAGUGGCCACUAGCCCCACCCUAUCGAGGCCAAAUUCCGCUGUUUUCCAAGGUUUUUAGGCAGUUUAAUUUUUUUAGCGUAGGAUUUUCGUACAAUUUACAUUGUUUUCGAUCUCUUGUGUGGUUGGUUUCUUUUUAGUUUUCUUGACGAUUUAUGCCUGUAACCCGUUCUAUCAACCAGAGUCAAGUGCAGGUGGAUCUCAAAAUAGAAAACACUUUACGCAAGUUACGAAAGGAAGCUCGCGUCAACACCAUGGAUGUUGAACGACAACAACCACUCAAGGAGCUUGCUGCUCCUAACGUGGAAAAUCAACCAUUGUGCAUCAACAUCGACAAUAAUGUAAACUUCGAGCUCAAAUCUGGUUUUAUACAUUUGCUACCAACAUUCAAUGGUCUUGUAGGUGAAGAUCCUCAUACUCAUCUCAAGGAGUUCCAUAUGGUUUGCGUUGGCAUGAAACCGAAUGGAGUUGAUGAAGAACAGGUUAAGUUGAAAGCUUUCCCUUUCUCUUUAAAAGGGGCAGCAAAGGCAUGGUUUUUCCCUAUUCUCCUAGGUUCCAUUGGAACUUGGAAUGCCAUGAAGAAGAGUUUCCUUGAAAAGUAUUUCCCAGCAUCUCGAGUUGCCAACAUAAGGAAAGAAAUAUGUGGGAUUCGACAAUCUCAUGGAGAGACACUUUUCGAGUAUUGGGAAAGAUUUGAGCAACUGUGUAUUCAAUGCCCUCACCAUCAGAUACCCGAUCACCUACUCAUUCAAUAUUUCUAUGAAGGACUGAUGCCUAUUGACCGUAGUAUCAUUGAUACGGCAAGUGGUGGGGCAUUGGUAGAUAAGACACCCGAGGCUGCACGCCAAUUGAUCUCAAACAUGGCAGCCAACUCGAAACAGUUUGGCACCCGUGGAGACUUCGCAAAUAAAGGAGUAAAUAAGGUAAGUAUUUCUAACCUUGAGAAUAAAGUUAAUGAUCUUACUUCUCUUGUGUGUUUUUUGGCUUGUGGAAAUGUACAGCAGGUGAAAGUUUGUAGCAUAUGCUCCUUACAACGACAUGCUUCGGAUAUGUGCCCAACAAUGUAAGAAGAUUACAUUGAACAUGCUAAUGCAGUUGAUGGAGGAUUCAAUGUACAACCUCAAUGUAAGUAUGAUCCUUUUUCUCACACGUACAAUCCUGGAUGGAGAGAUCAUCCUAACCUAUGUUAUGGGAACCAGCCUCAACAAAGCAAUCAAGGCCAACAGUUCCAUCCCCAUGAAUUUCAAUCCCAACAGAAUUAUCAAGCGAGAUAGCCCCCUUCAUUCACAAACUCCAAUGUUAUGAGGUCGUCAUCCAGUGAUGAUCUUCGUGAGAUGAUGAAAACUUUGGCUUCUAACACUAUGACCUUGCAACAAAAUGUCAUGUCUUUUCAACAGGAAACAAGGUCAAGUAUUCACAAGUUGGAGAAGCAAAUGGGGCAAGUAGCUUCAAGUGUGGGGAAAUUGGAAGCACAAAUGAAUGGAAAAUUUCCCUCCCAAGCAUUGAAUCCAGUAAAGAAUGUUAGUGCGAUCAUGUUGCGAAGUGAGAAUGAACUUGAAGCGAAAAGGUCGAAACAAAUUAAGAUGGAGGAAGAAGAGGAGAUAGAAACCGAAUUGAAUAUAAAGAAGAAACAUCCUCCUUCACAAAUUGAAACCACGACCAACACUCUAAAGGUAACUCCCCACUCAAUGAAUUCCAGUUUUAAAAUAGUUCCACCCUUUCCUGUGAGUUCUUUUAGGUUAAAGAAAGAGGACAAAGAAAAAGAGAUUUUAGAGGUUUUCAAGAAAGUAGAACUCAACCUUCCUUUGCUUGAUGCUAUCAAGCAAAUUCCCAAGUAUGCCAAAUUCUUGAAGGAGUUGUGUACUACCAAGAGAACUUUCAAACUGAAAGGUCAUGAAAUGGUAAGUAUAGGUGCAGUUGUAUCUGCUAUUGUUCAAAAGAAUAUGCCUUUGAAGCAAAAAGACCCAGGUGUGUUUACUAUCCCAUGUGUUAUUGGUAAUGCUCGUUUCAAAAGGGCCUUGUGUGAUUUAGGUGCAUCCAUUAGUGUUAUGCCUAAACAUGUUUAUGAUUCUCUUAGUCUUGAGCCUUUGAAUAAAACUAGCAUUGUAGUACAACUUGUGGAUCGUAGUUUUGUUUACCCACUUGGUGUGAUAAAAGAUGUCCUAUUCAAGAUUGAUAGUUUGGUCAUUCCAUGCGACUUUUAUAUUCUUGAUAUGGAACAUGAUUCUUGUGAUUCAUCAAACAACACUCCUAUAUUGUUUGGGAGACCAUUCUUGAAAACUGCCAAUAUAAAGAUUGAUUGUGGUGAGGAUACUUUGUCUAUGAAAGUAGGAGAUGAAAAGAUUGAAUUUAAUUUUCAUGAUGCAAUGAAAUAUCCUUAUAGCAAUGUUUAUUUUAUCACAUGCUAUGACCAAGUUGAUAAGUGUGUGCAACAAGUUUUUUAUUUUGAUUGUGAGGAUGGAUUAAGCGUAGCUUUGAGCUAUGGCUAUGAUUUUACCAAGAUAGAAAAGAUGAAGAGGCAUAUAUGUGUUCCCUAAAACAUGCAUGAAUCAACAUUGGCUUUGCAAGCUGUUCCCUAUGAUGCAGGAAUCAUUCACCCCAUCAUGGACAAUGAAUCGGUGAUGCCUAUCCUUUUGGUGCCUAAAAAAGAUUGGAAUUAGAUUAGAAGAAAUACAAAAUGAUGUUUAUGAGAAUGCAAGGAUUUAUAAAGAAAAGAUCAAAAGUCUUCAUGAUGAUUACAAGAAAAGAGUUUAAUGUUGGAGACAAAGUUCUUCUUUUUCAUUUGCGUUUGAAACCUUUUCCUGUAAAGUUGCGCUCUUGUUGGAUUGGACCCUUUAUUGUUUCUAAUGUUUUUUCUUAUGGUGCAGUUGAAAUUACAAGUUUAGAAACCAACAAAGUACUCAAGGUCAAUGGGCAUCGCUUGAAACCUUUCUAUGAAGGUUGGACGGCAGAACUCACCGCUUAUGUGGAGUUAGCUGAACCAAUCUAUGAAGAAUGAGCAUGCAACAUGUCGAGCCAAUGACAUAAAACAAAAGCGCUUACUAGGAGGCAACCCAGCACAAAAAGAAAAAAAAACAGAUUUGCUUUCUUUUUCCCUUAUCUUUUAUUUUUCACAUUUUACUUUAUUUUUGUCAUUCUCCUAUAUUCCUUUUCUUUUAUUUCAACAUUGAGGACAAUGUUGUGUUUUAAGUGUGAGGGUAUUGGGAGAAUGUUGGUUUUCUUAUUUUGAUUUUCUUUGUUGUUCCAAAAAAAAAACAAAUUUCUAUGUUUGAUCUUUUGAACUCCUAUUGGUUUAUGAGAAUGUGAGUAUUACAUAUGAGAAUUAAUUGAGAUAGAUGAAGAUAUAAAUCGAAUGAAGAAGUGUGCAUGCAAGUUUUANNNNNNNNNNNNNNNNNNNNNNNNNNNNNNNNNNNNNNNNNNNNNNNNNNNNNNNNNNNNNNNNNNNNNNNNNNNNNNNNNNNNNNNNNNNNNNNNNNNNNNNNNNNNNNNNNNNNNNNNNNNNNNNNNNNNNNNNNNNNNNNNNNNNNNNNNNNNNNNNNNNNNNNNNNNNNNNNNNNNNNNNNNNNNNNNNNNNNNNNNNNNNNNNNNNNNNNNNNNNNNNNNNNNNNNNNNNNNNNNNNNNNNNNNNNNNNNNNNNNNNNNNNNNNNNNNNNNNNNNNNNNNNNNNNNNNNNNNNNNNNNNNNNNNNNNNNNNNNNNNNNNNNNNNNNNNNNNNNNNNNNNNNNNNNNNNNNNNNNNNNNNNNNNNNNNNNNNNNNNNNNNNNNNNNNNNNNNNNNNNNNNNNNNNNNNNNNNNNNNNNNNNNNNNNNNNNNNNNNNNNNNNNNNNNNNNNNNNNNNNNNNNNNNNNNNNNNNNNNNNNNAUUUUAGAGAUUUAAACACAUAAACCCUAAACACGUGAGUGUUGGAGUGUAUAUCAAUGAGAGGACCUAUCACUUUGGCAUGGCAUAGAUUUCAUUUAAAUCCCGAUGAUUAAUUGAGUUUUGAAGUUUACAUGUAAAUAAAUUCAUGAAAAUUUAUACUCUUUAUCAUUCUUGAUUGUGUUCUUGUUUAUAAUGCAUAUAUUCUUGGAUAUUGAUAGGAGAUUAGGAGAUUAGUCAUAGUGAUUUGAUUUAAUUUAAUUUCAAUUUGAUUUUACCUAUCCUUUCUCGAGGACAAGCAAGAGCUAAGUGUGGGGGUAUUUGGUGCAACCAUAUUAUUCGAUAGUUCCACCCAUAUUUCACUUGUUUUUUACCUAUGUUAUAUAUAUAAAAUGCCUUGAUAUUCUUUGUUUUAUGUUUUGAAGGCACUUUUGGAUGAAAGAUGCAAAAAGGAGUAAAUUGGAGGUAAUUGACAGAUUUGACCUUCAGUCGAUGUUUUGUGCAGAACAUGAGCUCUAGAGGUUGAAAUGAAGUGAUUCUAGUGGCAUUAAAAAGCUAACAUCUAUACCGUUAUGGACAUCUAAGGCAAGAAAAUAAAAUAAGGAAGAGGAUGGAAAUCGCAGCCUUCAAAGUCAAAAUAAGUCAAGUUUUGGGGGUCGUCCCCAAAGCUUUAGCAAAAGGGGACAUCAUUGGAAAAAAAUUGGUGAAGAACUACAAGUCUCCAUAAUGUCUGAUCGAAUGAAUGCAAUGUUUAACCAUAUUGACGCUUUCAUUGCUUUACUAGGUGGUCUGGGCACAUUGGAAGAGAUCUUUCAUAUUUUCUCUUUGGUCCAACUGCACAUUCACCAUAAACCUAUAGGUUUGUUAAAUGUUAAUGGUUUUUAUGAUAAUUUGUUGUCUUUUCUUGAUCAAGCCGUGAAACAGGAAUUUCUAACAUCUUCAGCACGACAAAUCAUAAUCUCUGCUUCUAUUGCUGAACAUUGAUUGAACAACUACAAUCUUUCAUUCCUGUAAUUGAUCCCUUCAUGAGUCGCAUAAAUUGGUCAACUAUGGAAAACCGUAAAAAGCUUAGAUUGGAUUUGAGCCUUUGUUUGUGAAACCUUGUGUCCUUUGGUUUUAUUUAUUAUUUUGUUAUUUCUUAUAUUUGUUAAAGUGUGUUUCAGGUUUGUUAGUGUUCGCUGUUUCAGGUGAUGUCUUCUAUACUCUAUCUUCUACCUUAGGACAUUGAGGANNNNNNNNNNNNNNNNNNNNNNNNNNNNNNNNNNNNNNNNNNNNNNNNNNNNNNNNNNNNNNNNNNNNNNNNNNNNNNNNNNNNNNNNNNNNNNNNNNNNUUUGACAAAACUGUUAUUACUAGGAUGGCAAAGUUAGGGAGAAUUUUAUUAACUUGAUUUUGCUCUUGAAAUAUUCAGGUUUACAAAUUCUCGCAUUGUUAUCACUUGAUUCUGCUCCUAUACUCAUUUAACAAGUAUUCUUAAACCUUCAUUUUCACACACACACUUUAACAUAUGAUUGUGGAUUGCACAUUGGAUUAUUACAUUAUUUAUGUUCUUUUGUUAAAGGUAACAACUAAGAGAAAGGGAUAGUAUAUAAUUUACAAAAAAAAAAUUUGAUAAUAUUGAUGAUAAUAGAAAUGUAGAUAAGUUUGGUUUUAUAGCCUCCCCAACUUAAGCAAUUAAGCCCGAAGGGGUGUUUUAACACCUAAUACCCUAAAGUCAACUGACUUGGGAGCUAUUGGCCCAAUGCUUGUUACAUGGGUUAAGGAGAAAAGCUUAAGGUGAUCAAACAUUGCACUAUCUACGUAUCAGUAUCUGCAACCCGAGUUACUAAGCUCGAAGGGGUGUCUCAACACCUAAUGCCCUAAAACCAACUAGUCUGGGAGUCAUUAGCCUAAAGUUCGUUACAUGGGUUAAAAAUGCAUUGUGUUUUAAGUUAUAUGUAUAUAUAUUAAAAAAAAAAGAAAAAAAAAGACAAAAAAGAUAAUAAUCCCAACCCAAGGAAGUUAACCAUAAACAUUAGAACAUAAUAUUGUUUUCUUCCAAUAAAAGCCUCAUCAUCUAUGUUUUCAUACAUUGAGCACAUAAAAAAAAAAGGUUUAUUAAUAUCUUGUUUAAGAAGUAUGAAGCAGAUAUAUAAAUUUAAUGAGAGUUUGUUUAUUUGGAUAGAUUAAUAGAAGUUGAAUGAUGAAUGCCUUGCUUUGUGGAACUUGCAAAUUGUUUUUCUAUUUUAACGCUUUGAUUACUAGGGACUAGUAAUAAGCUGGUUGGGGCGUGUGAUUAGUACUUAAAAGUGCAUUUUUAUCAAGGUUUUAUAUCAUCAUUUUGCACUUGAAGUAUCAAUAACUCCUUAACUAAAGCAUGUUUUAUAAUAACAAGUCUGAUACUAUAAGAUACCUUUAAUUUAUGGUAAAUGUUCAUCUUAAAUGCAGGCCUAUCACAUAAAUCAAAGGAUUGAUUGAUGAGUUUAACUACUGAAAUUGAGAAGACAAAGAGAGGGGCAAGCUUAGAAAAGAGAUGCUGGUUCAGUCCUAACUGGAACACUAUUCGGUUAUUGGAUCAUACCUUGAGCUGUAGAACUUGGAUUUAGGUUUGGUCUAUAUGGAUGGAAACCUAAGACAUAGGCCUAAAACAUUCAUGAAGAGUCCAACAUUCAAAAAGGUCGUUUUCAAGUUCAAAUUGUAGCAACAACGGAGAAGUUGGAAUUUGUCCUGCAGCCCAGACACUGUUCAGUGUUCAGCCUAUAUCUCGAGUUCUAAAAAUCCAAAUGCACCGAUUCAUUUUGUGUUGGAAAGCGAAGAUAAUUUACUAGAACUUUCAUGAAGACUAUAUGUUCAAAUUCUGACGUUAGCAAUGACAUUUUGUUCAAACAAGAAAAGGAUUGUCACCAAGUCAAGAUGUGGCCACCCACUCAACAAUUAGUCAUCAAAUCAAUAGUUCCAAAUUUUGGCCUAUAAAAGGAGGCAUUUGCCAUGCAUUUAGGCAUCUUGGUUUUCAGAUCAAGAUCAUGUUCUUACUCUCUUUCUUUAUAUUUUUGUAAUGCAUAAGUUUUGCUUUCAUUAAUCUCUUGUUUAUGCCUUUCAUUUCCUUUACUAUAUUUAUAUAAUCAUGUUCUCAUCUUGUUUAUUUAUGUUUCUCUCUUUCAUUAUGUUUAGUUAAGUUUAUCAUGACAAGGUGAAAAGGUUACAUUAAUGGUGUAAGAAUAAGUAGUGUAAAUUCAACAUGGACUUUAAUGUUUGAUACUGACAUGUUUUGUAUUUGUUAUCUUAUUCACUCUUAAUACUUUGUUUGUUAAAUGGUUAAUCUAGAUUUAUGUUGUAUAACCCUUGGUACAACAAAUACUUGAUCCUUUCAUAACCAACUGUAUGGUAUAACCGACACCUGUGUUAUGAAAGGAACUUGAUUUGUUGUUAACAUAAAUUAACAUCACGAAUACCUGACAACAUUUACAAGUAUUAGCAUUAUUUGCAUAAGAUAAUUAAUGUAAUCAUGUUAAUAAUUUNNNNNNNNNNNNNNNNNNNNNNNNNNNNNNNNNNNNNNNNNNNNNNNNNNNNNNNNNNNNNNNNNNNNNNNNNNNNNNNNNNNNNNNNNNNNNNNNNNNNNNNNNNNNNNNNNNNNNNNNNNNNNNNNNNNNNNNNNNUCUCACAUUUCAAAGUCCUUUUAAAUCUUUGUUUUAUUAUAUAUAUUAUUUGUAAUUUAUAUAGUUCACCUCCUUGUGGUUCGACCCCAGUCUUACUGGGUUAUUUAUUACUUUGACACUCCUGCACUUGGGAUAAGACAUCAAUUUUUUGAUCGUGUCAUAUACACAAUGACUUAGAGAUUGAAGGAGAAAUGAUAGACAAUUGGUCACUAUAGUGUCGGUGGCUAAGGAUAUAUUACAAUGAUACUUAGCAUCAUGAUGAGGUUGGAUAAGGGCAUAAAUUGAUACUUGGCACUGUGAUAAGGGUGACCAAGGUUAUAUGAAUAAUGCUUAGUGAUUAUAGUGUCGAUAACUAAGAAUGUAUGUAAAUGAUACCUGGCAACCAUGGUUACAAUGCAUAUGAUGUUAACAAGAAAAAUGAAAGGGGAUCUGUACGAAUGAAAGAUUCAGAUGACAUUGAUUAGCUAUCCGGUUUUGGAUAGCUAAUGGUAUCAAUGGGAUUCCAUUUGUACCGGCAUUUCAGAUGACAUUGAUUAGCUAUCCGAGUUUGGAUAACUAAUGGUAUCGAUGGGGUUUCAUCGGUGCUGACAUUUCAGAUGACAUUGAUUAACUAUCCGGGUUUGGAUAACUAAUGGUAUCGAUGGGGUUUCAUCGGUGCUGACAUUUCUUAAAUUGAUUAGUCGAUCCUGAGCAAUUGGGUGACUAAUGAUGUUAGUAAAGAUUACUAACAUCGACAUGGUUACUCCUGGUUCAGUGAAAAAGAUAAGUUGAUUAACUAUUCUGGGUCGAGAAUAGUUAAUGAUAUCAAUGGGUCACAUUGGUAUCGACAAUCAUUUCUAGUGUGAUUAGCUACUCCAGGCAAAGAGGCUAAUGAUGUCAAGGGUUCUUGACAUCGGCAAUUUUGAUGGUAAACCAGAUAUGAAUAAGAUUUGAUUAACUAUUAUGGGGAAGAAAUAGUUAAUGAUACCAAUCGAUUUUAUUGAUAUCGACAUGUAAAUGUAAUUGAUUAGUCUAACCCAAUAUUGGGAGACUAAUGAUACUAAUGAGAUUUAUUAGUGUUGGUAAUUACCUUCCAUAAAAUGGGAGGGAAAAUAUUGAUUGGUUAUUCCAAAAGAAUGAGAUAAGCUAAUGAUACCAAGAGAGAAAUAUCUUGGUAUCAAGUGAGAAUUGAUUUAUAAGGAGAUGGUGUGCGAAAACCAUUGAAUUGUGUUGAGAUUUACAAGAUGAAAUUAUUCUCGGCAAAUGAGAUAGGAUAUUAGAUAGAUAUUGAUAAUAAAUGGAAAAUGUAUGUUGUAAAUGUAUGUUGUAGCUAAUUUUAUGUACCAAAAGAAAUUCUAUGGAGAUUAUUACCUAUCAUUGUUAUUGUUUCUUAUUACCUUCUUAUAUUUAUGUGUACACGUUAAUUUCUAUUUUCAGGUCCAUCAGGGUCGCGUCAGGAAUGAUAUUGGUUUAGUUACCUUUUGCUUUUGACCAUGUAAUUAUUUGUAAAUUAAGAGUCUUAUCUCCUAAAACUUGAAAUGUAAUAUUAAUCCGUAAAUUUGAAUGUAUGACUUUAAUCUAAUGUUUGUAACUCUAAGUACCUAUUUAACCAUGCAUGUUUAUAGUUGAAAUCAAAUCUUUCACUUGAAUUACAUUAUAUGAUGUUAUUGAAUAAGAAGUGUUUUGUUGAUGAUAAUAAGUUGGGUUGAGAUCCAGCAUGAUUAGAUCAGGAUGUAAAAUAAAAUUGGAAGUGUAAUAUGAUUUUGUUGAUAACUUGGGACCUCCUAGUGUAGGGGAGACUCUGCCAAAUUUUGGUGGACUUGUAUAAAAAAAAUUACCUGAAAAUUUCCAAUGUAUCGUGAAAAAAGGACGUAGGAAUUCAGGGUUGUUACAACUGGGUUCUCCUUCCUUUAGGGCACUUGCAGCCUCGUGUCUUAGCUUUCCAACGCGACCAACCUCUCUUGAAAAGGAGUACUAGAACUCCAGAUAUAGUUAAAACUCUGAGGAAAGGUCGGAAUGCGACCUCUACAGACAGUUACGGUUGGAUAGUAACAAUCCAAUGUCUAGACAGUAAUAAUUUCAAUGUCUAGAUAGUAACAGUUCAAGAUAGUAACUGUUGGACAGUAAUAGUCCAAGGUCAAGAAAGUAAUGGUUGGACAGUAACAAUCCAAGGUCUGGACAGUAACAGUUGGGCAGUAACAAUUCGAGAUUUAAACAGUAACAGUUCAAAUAUAAAAAAAUGAAUAAUAACUAUGGUUGGAUAAAGAAUGACGAUAUUAAUGGGUGUAAUGAGAAAACAUAAAAUAUAAAGAAAUAAAUGAUUGAAAGAAAAACCUAUUAGUUGUUGAUAUGGUUAUUAUAAAAUGUAUCAUUAAAUGAGGAAAAUUUAUGAGAUAAGCCUGUGAUUGCAGGAGAGACCACAAGCGUGGUGCUACAGCAGCAGCAAGGGAGCACGAGUAGAGCUUCUACUGCAGGUAGGUGAUCCUCACCUAAGCUUUCUAGUUAAAUUCAAGAAUUUAAUAUGUUAAUAAUGUGAGAUGUAAAUUUGCAAACGUUGGAUAUUAUAUGAAAGGAUAGUAUCCUGAAUAUAUGUGUGUUCAAGGUGAACGACCCUUAUGGGAAUUACCAAGUGAUAGGAGUACCACUGACAAAGAAAUUAUGAGAAGUGUAAUAUGUGCUUCAUCUAGCAUACAUUUAGUGUAUGUUAGGAUCCGGGGUAAGGGGAUCACCGUGCAUCGACUAGCAUACAUUUAGUGUAUAUUAGGAUCCUAGGUAACGGGAUCACUGUGUUUUUUACUAACGUACAUUUAGUGUAUGUUAGGAUCUCGGGUAAAGGGAUCACCAUGUAUUAACUAGCAUACAUUUAGUGUAUGUUAGGAUCUCGGGUAAUGGGAUCACCGUGUUUUUUACUAGCAUACAUUUAGUGUAUGUUAGGAUCCCGGGGUAAGGGGAUCACUGUAAUUUUUUACUAGUAUACAUUUACUGUAUGUUAGGAUCUCGGGUAAGGAGAUCUCCAUACGUUAAUGCUAAUGGGAUGAUGAUGAUACCGAUGAAAAGGGUAUUAGUAAUGUGUGGAUGAAACAAUUGCGGUUAAUUUUAAUGGAAUCUUGAAUGGAAGUUGGAAAUGAGAGAUGAAACAAUUUUCAGUAAAUGAAUGAGAAGGAGUUCUAAUAGAAAUGAAAAGGGAAAAGGAACAGAAUAAGAAUACAUAUCUACCUUUUUAAAUUAUUGAAAAUUUGUGCUACUGUACUUAUCGUGAUAUUCAUAUUUCAAUAAUAUGUAUUUUGUUUCAGGACCAUCGCAUGCACGACAGGAGUAGGUGUUAGCUUUUAUUCACUUUUUGUUAUGUAGUCUAGGUUGGAUGACCUUACAUUUUGUAAACAUGGAAACAUUUGAAUAACUUAACUUGUAUAAUUAAUGUUUAAACUUGAUUAGAUAAACUUAACUCUGUAGUUCAUAUAACCAUGCUUCAUGUAUGCGUAUUUAUGUCUUUUAUCCAUCCAUAAUGAUAUUUGUUAUUUAAUGUAUAUCAUAAAUAUUGUAGUUGAUAUGAACGAUGAUGUUUGUGGGAUUGAGACCCAGGAUGAUUGGGUCGUGAUUGAGUUAGGAGAUGCGAGUUAUUAGAAGUAUAAAUAGGUUAUAUGUCGAUAACUUGGGACCUUCAGGUAUAGGAGAGACUCCGUCGAAAUUUCGGUAGACUUUAAUAUGAACACCAUAUACAUUGUGUUCAUAUAAAUUUUUUAAAAAAAUUAACUACUCUGUUUUUCGAUUGACAUGAGAUUGUUGUUUUAUCCCGGAUAUGGGGAUGUUACAAUCGGCUUGUACGACCUACUCAGUCAGGGACAAGUGCCAAUAAGGGUCGACCUAGGUUCCAAGAGGAAAGGACUCAGGGCAGGAUAUACCACAUGACUCAAGAAGAUGUGGGGGCAAUGCCAGAUGUCGUAGCAGGUACACUACAAUUAGGUUUAAUACAAGUUUAUGCUUUAAUUGAUCUUGGGGCUAGCCAUUCUUUUGUGGCCCAUCGAAUUGUCAGUAAUUUAAAGGUAUUACCAAGUAGAUUGAGUGUAAGGGUGGUGGUUAGUACACCUUUAGGGAAAAAUAUAAACAUUGAUGAGGUGUACAAGGGAGUGAUACUAUACUUUGAGGGGGUAGAGCUAAGGGUUGACCUCAUGCCUUUAGAAUUAUAUGAUUUUGACUUGAUUCUAGGAAUGGAUUGGUUAAGUAGAUAUAGGGCACAAGUAGAUUGUUUCACAAAGACCGUAAACCUCCAAGAUGUGAGUGGCAAAAGGGUAGUAUUCAAGGGAGAAAGGAGGGUGAUUCCGAACUCCAUAAUCUCGGUCAUGACGACUGGAAAAUUGAUUAGAAAGGGAUGCCCUGCUUGGUUGUCUCAUGUAAGAGAAUUAAAGAAGGGAAGCAUAGAAUUAACAAAUAUCCAUAUUAUAAAAGAAUUUUCGUAUAUGUUUCCGGAGGAGUUACUAGGGCCACCUCCAAUUAGAGAGAUUGAGUUUCCAUUGAGACUCUUCCGGGGGUCAACCCUAUAGCACAAUCCCCUUAUAGAAUGGCCCCUAUAGAACUAGCCAAACUAAAGAUCCAACUUCAGGAGUUGCUGGACAAAGGGUUCAUACGGCCGAGCAAUUCACCCUAGGGGCCCCCAUUGCUAUUCGUGAAGAAAAAGGAUGGUACAUUCUGGUUAUGUAUCGACUAUUGAUAGCUAAACAAAGUGACGAUAAAGAACAAGUACCUGCUACCACAGAUAGACGAUCUAUUUGAUCAAUUGAAGGGUGCAAGGGUAUUCUCGAAGAUAGAUCUGAGGUCGAGGUAUCAUCAAUUAAGGAUCAGAUAACAGGACAUACAGAAAACUGCCUUUAGGACCCACUAUGGCCACUAUGAAUUCUUAGUGAUGCCUUUCGGGUUAACAAAUGCCCCUACAGUAUUUAUGGAUCUGAUGAACCGGGUGUUUUGGCUUUAUCUAGAUAAAUGUGUGGUGGUAUUUAUUGAUGAUAUACUAGUAUAUUCCAACUCUUAUUUGGAACAUGAGAAGCACUUGAGAAAGGUGUUGGAGAUAUAAAGGGAGAAUAAAUUAUAUGCCAAACGGGAUAAAUGUGAGUUAUGGCUCAAGGAGGUGGUACUUUUGGGACAUGUUAUCUUAGCAUGAGGAAUAUUUAUGGAUCCAGGAAAAGUAGAGGCAGUUCUAAAGUGGGAAAAGCCCACGAAUGUGACCGAAAUCCGAAGCUUCUUAGGCCUCGCAGGGUAUUAUAGGAGGUUUAUCGAAGGGUUUUCUACAAUAGCAUCACCUCUAACCAAGUUGACUCGUAAAGAAGUAAGGUUUAUUUGGUCAAAGAAAUACGAGGAGAGUUUUCAGGAGUUGAAAAGAAGGCUCACAUCAACCCCUGUUUUGGCCCUUCCUUCCGGAACAAAAGGGUUCAUGGUUUAUAGUGAUGUCUCGAUGAGGGGUUUGGGAUGUGUGUUAAUGCAGCAUGGGAAGGUGAUCACCUAUGCUUCCAGACAGUUAAAGCNNNNNNNNNNNNNNNNNNNNNNNNNNNNNNNNNNNNNNNNNNNNNNNNNNNNNNNNNNNNNNNNNNNNNNNNNNNNNNNNNNNNNNNNNNNNNNNNNNNNNNNNNNNGACCAUAAGAGUUUGAGGUAUUUAAUGUCGCAAAAGGAGUUAAACAUGCGAUAGAGGAGAUGGGUGAAAUUGAUAAAGGAUUACGACUGUGUAAUUGACUAUCAUCCUGGUAAAGCCAAUAUAGUGGCGGAUGCCUUGAGCCAAAAAGGGAAGGCAGUGGUGGGUGAUACAGGAAAUACAGAACAAGAGGAUUUGAUGGAAUUGAAAAGGAUGGGCUUACAGUUAGGUGUGGGUCCCUAAGGGUCACUACUGGCUCAUAUAAAAAUCAGAUCAGUGCUGCGAGAUAAAGUUCUAGAAGCUCAGUUGGUGGAUGAAGGUAUAGGAAAGAUCAAAGGAAGGAUAGAGCAAGGCAAAGAGUUAUCUUUUCAAGUUUUGCCCAAAGGAUUUGUGGCGAUGGGCAAACGAGUUUACUUACCCGAGGAUAAGGCCUUAAAGGGUGAAAUACUGAAAGAAGCUCAUGAAUCUUGGUUUGCAACCUACUGUUGUGAUGUCGCGGUUGCACAAAUUAAUUACCCUAGCUUCAAACACAACACACAAGAUAGUAUAGAGCAAGCAAGGGGUCGAUCCCAUGAGGAAGAUUCAAGUCAAAUUUUUAUGCUAGAUGAUAUGGAAUUUGGGGGGUUUGGACGUUAUCUAGGCUAAAGCAAAAGAAAACAGAAAACUAUCAAACAAAAUUUAAUAAAAUCAGAAAAUUAUCAAGAGAACAAACCUUGGUUGUAAGCACACAUCCACCUACAGAAAUCAGAACUGAUCAUGGAAACGAAACAUCAAUUUAUAUUCUGAAUAUUUAUCUCUUCUUAACAUUGGUUAGUUAACGGAUCCGCCGCAUAACUAACCCUAACCAUCAAAUAACCACAGUGUCCGCACUAGUAAUUUAAUUUAAUAGCAGCCUUAAGAACUAGAUAAGUUGAUUAAUCAAGAAAACAUAAUUGUUCGCAGUCUAUGUUUGAUUUGAUUGAAUGUUCUCCCUAAGACUAAUAACGUAGAUCCGCCACAAUUAUUAAACUCAUUUUCUUCACAAGUUCAUAUACCACAACUCCGGUUUUGAUAUCAAACUUAGUAAUAGAUUGUCUACAAUAAUAACUUAGAGUCCGCUCUAGCAAUUAAAAUAAACAAUCAUAGGAAAAAUAAGCAUAGGAGAACAAACAUAUUCAUCAUAUAAACUGAAAAGAAAAGGUAAAAUAAAUCUCACAGUUCUUAAAAUUCAAAGGUUUUCGUGUCCUUGCAACCAAGAAAAUGAGUUUAGCCUUGCAUGUUUGUUGAACAACUAAUAAAAAAGAAGGAGGAAUGCAUGAUUUCUGGUUUCUUAGAGGAGGGGGGCGUUUUUCUCCUCUUGGCUGGCUGGCCCCCUUCUCUUCUCUCAUUCUUUUUAUAUCCUAGGAAACCCUAGUCUUUAUUUUACAAAAUAGUCCUCCCUUAAGUAGACAAUUUAUAUUUAAGUACUUCAAUAAACAUUUUUCUAAAAAAAGAGAAAUAGCCUUGCAUGAAAUCUUCAAUCUUUGACUUAGAGGAGCUAAAUUACUGAAAUAAAAACUUGGAUAUCGAUUUAGAUGCUUCGGAAUGUAAUUUAGACUCGUUUCUUCACGAAACUUGUUUGCUGGCAGAAUUCAAUUGUCAUCUUUGAAAAAUCAUAUCUCCCUCAGAUGACAUUUUUUUUGCUGAAAUUUAGAGAUUUGAUAGGCCUUUGAGUCAGGAAUACAAAAAAAUUUAUUUUGCAUCAAUUGGACUUCUGUAGCUCCAGAUAUUAAAGUCGGAAUGGCUCAAGGUCAACACUGGCAGAUUGCAAGAUUUGACUUUGAAGGCUGCGAUUUCCAUGCUCUUCCUUAUUUUAUUUUCUUGCCUUAGAUGUCUAGAAAGGUAUGGAUGUUAGCUUUUUAAUGCCACUGGAAUCACUUCAUUUCAAUCUCUAGAGCUCACGCUCUGCACAAAACAUCGACUGAAGGUCAAAUCUGCCAAUUACCUCCAAUUUACUCUUUUUUGCAUCUUUCAUCCAAAAGUGCCUUCAAAACAUAAAACAAAGAAUAUCAAGUCAUUUUAUAUAUAGAACAUAGGCAAAACACUAGUUAAAUGUGGGUGAAACUAUCGAAUAAUAUGGUUGCAUCACUUACCCCGGGAGCACCAAGAUGUACAGGGAUCUCAAGGAGUAUUACUGGUGGCCAAAUAUGAAGAAGGAGAUAGCAGAAUAUGUGUCAAGAUGUGGGAUAUGUCAACAGGUGAAGAUAGAACACCAAAGGCCGGCGGGGAAAUUGCAACCACUACCAAUUCCGGAAUGGAAAUGGGAAAAUAUAGCCAUGGACUUUGUAACUGGAUUGCCGAAGGAGAAAAGGGGCAAUGAGGCUAUAUGGGUGGUUGUAGAUCGACUAAUGAAGUCAGCUCUAUUCUUGCCCACCAAGAUGACGGACCCGGUAGACAAGUUGGCCAAAUUAUACGUGAAUGAAGUGAUUAGACUACAUGGAGUACCCUUAUCAAUUGUGUCAAAUUGAGACCCCAGAUUCACCUCGAGGUUAUGGUCGCGCUUACAACGAGCUUUAGGAACCAAGGUAAACUUGAGCACGACAUUCCACCCUCAAACGGAUGGCCAAUCUGAAAGAACUAUCCAAACACUUGAAGACCUUAUAAGGUCAUGUGUGCUAGAGUUUGAGGGAAACUAGGAAGACUUGUUGCCGUUGGUAGAGUUCACAUAUAAUAAUAGUUAUCAAGCUUCAAUCUGGAUGGCUCCAUAUGAAGCCCUUUAUGAGAGGAAAUGUCGCACUCUGAUAUGCUGGGAUGAAAUUGGAGAAAGAAAACUUGUGGGUCCUGAAAUGGUACAAUUAAUGACUGAUAAAGUAAGGGUGAUCAUGCAAAGAAUAAAGGAAGCCCAAGAUAGAUAGAAGAGUUAUUCAGAUAAUCGGAGGAGACCUUUGGAAUUCCAAAUAGGGGAUAGAGUAUUUUUAAAGGCGGCACUGUGGAGGGGCAUCAUUCGGUUUGGAAUGAAAGGAAAGCUUGCUCCGAGGUACAUUGGCCUAUUUGAAGUGAUAGCUAGGGUAAGGCCGAUUGCUUACUGCCUGAGGCUAUCGACGCACCUAGAGAAGAUUCACAAUGUGUUCCAUGUAUCACUAUUACGGAAGGCAGAAGUGGAUCAUUCACGAGUGUUACCUCCAGUUCCCAUUGAAGGGAAUCGAGACCAAGUCAAUCAAGAUCAUGGAUUGGGGUGAAAAAACAUUGAGAAAUAAAAGAAUACCAUUUGUCAGAGUGUUGUGGAGGAACUCACAAAUAGAGAAAGAAACAUGGGAGAGAGAAUCGGAGAUUAAGGAAAAAUAACCCCACCUAUUCCUUGAGAUAGGUAUGCAACUUAAAUUUUAAGGAUGAAAUUUUUGUUAGGAGGGGAGAAUGUGAAACCCGAGAAACAAUUAUACAAAAAAGGGGGGAUUUAUAAUAAAUUGAAUUUUUUAACCAAUGAUUUACAUAUUUAUUAUUUAUCAUUCUUUUAUCAAAAUCAGAUUUUCAUUUUGUUUUCUAAUUUUGUAAAUAGUGAGUAUCAUAAUAAGGAUAUCAUAUGUCUAUGCAACAAACAAAUCAUCCAUGCAGUUAUUUAAAUAUAAAAAAUAAACGUAGAGAAAAGUAUAAAUACUUAAAUAUAAAAAAUAAAAAUAAAACAUUUAAUUUGAAAAUUUGUGAGUACAAUGUAGAAUUUUUCAUUGACUCUUAUAAUUCAUUUGGGGAUGUUGACGUCUACGAGUGUUUGUGCCGGUCUGAUUUAUUUAUAUAAAAACAAUGUGAUAUUUAUUAGAGUAGACAAUUUUUUAUUGGAAGGAGUGGUUGGUUAGCUUCAUUUGGUGGGCAUUAAAUUCUAUAUUUCAUCGCUAAAAUCCAAGAUUGAAAGAGUUGUUUCUAUCACACAAUUUUACUUGUUUCUAUAAGUAAAUUCAGAUUAUAAUGUAAUUAUGCUUAUUGUUCAAUUUUAUACCAUUAAAUAUAAUUUUUAAUCUGAUUAUUAGAUUAGGUUAAAGUUAAUAGGAAUUUUAAAUAUAUUAUUCUAUAUUGAAUUAAAAUCUCAAGUCAAUUAGUGUUAAGAAAAGUUUUACGAUAUAAGUCAGCAGAUGCAAUAUGAAUUUUAUUAUUUGUUGUCUUUUAACCUGUGAAUUUUUUAUUUGAAGAGAAUUCUUUUCCACAUAAUGCAAAGAUAUUCAACAACUUAUUUUUAUGAGGAUUCCUUGUUUAUUCUAACUAUAUAAAGAAAUGUGAGCUGGGAUAUUUAAUGACAUUGAUUUUAGGCUAAAUUAUUUUUCUGUAUUAUUUUAAGAUUUUAUUUGUUGUUUUAUUUUAUUAUUUAGAUAUUUACAUUUAGUUUAUGGCAUGUGUUUAGUUUUGGCAUGUUUUGGCCUAAAAUCAAUGUUUUAGGACUGUUUUAAAUAGCAAGUUUAUGUUAGCUGAAUGUUAGCUUGAGUUCAUAAGUUUGCAACCCAAUAAAGGCCCAUUAAAGUUAUUUAGGAAGAUCUAUUAUUUGGAUAUUUAUCUUCAAUUGAGAGUUGUGUUUUAGUUAGAGUUUGUUUUGAUCUAAAAUCAAUGUUUUAUGACCAUUUUAAGUAUUAGACUUGUGUAGUUGAUUAUUAGCUUGGGCCUAUUGAUUUGCAACCCAAUAAAAAUCCAUUAAGAUCAUUUAGAAAGACUAUACAUUGUUUUCUUUACUGUAAAAUUCAGCAUCCAUAAUGUUUUAAAUAAAAUUGUGUAUUGUGUGAUGCAUUUUUUUUUUUUUUUUUUUUUUUGCUGGAAGAAAAGCAAAUUUGACUUGUAAAUGCAUAACUAACCUUGUGGCGUAUUCAUAUACUUCGGAUUUUUUAUUUUUUAUAAUCAACGAGUCCUAAUUUAAUUUUCGAUACCACUACCAGAAAAUUGAUAAAUACAAACGGAAAUACCGAGGGAAUAUUUCCGUUUGUAAAUUUUUGAGGGAUUUUACCGACGGAAAUAUUCCCUCGGUAGGGAAUUACCGUAGGAAAAAAAAUUAAAACAAAGCAAAAAAAAAAUAAUGACGUGUCAUUUUUACCAACGGAAUUACCGACGGUAAAUUUGUUGGUAAAAAUAUGAACACUAUUCAUCAUAUCAAUUACAAAGGGAAUCACCGACGGAAUUGUCCGUCGGUAUUUCCCAGAGAGCUCCAGAACUGUUCACUUUCCAAUUGCACUGUUAAUUGUUGUUCUUUACAGACAAAAUCACCGACGGAUUGAAAAGUCGUCGGUGUUAUUUGGCGGUUUUCUGAAAAAAAUCAAUUAAUUUAAAAUUUUCAUUUAAAUAUUACAGAUGGAAUCACCAACGGAUUGAAAAAUCGUCGAUAAUUUUUUGGCGGUUUCUGUAAACUUUUUACAAAAUUGAAAAUUUAAAUUAAAUAUUACCGAUGGAAUUACCGACGGAAUAAUUAAAAAAUAUUAAUAUUUAAUUAUCCGUCGGUAACGCGCCCCAAUAAAAAGCCUGAAUCCCCUUAUUUCACAAGAAACAGACCCAUUUCUUAUUAUUAUUCUUCUUCUUCUUGUUCUUCUACUUCUUCUUCUUCUUCACUAUAUGUAAAAAACAUCAUUAAGGUAUGUCUUCUUCUUCUUCUUCAUUAUAUGUAAAAAACAUCAUUUCUUAUCUAUUUCUUUCUCUUCUUUUCUCUUCUCCUCUCCUUCUCUUUUCCUCCAUGCUUGGGUAUGUCUUCUUAUUCUUUCUUCUUUUUAUCCUCUUAGUUUUUUUUUUUAAUUAAUAUGCUUAACAAAAAAAAAUUUCUCUCCUUAGCUUCACUUGCAACUACAUUAAGGUAAGAUUUUUUUUUCUUCUUCUUUUUUCAUGAUUUUUUUCACUAUAUUUGUUUUUUAUUUUAUUUUUAAUUGUUUUUGUUCUUAAUAAUUGUAUAAAUGUUGUUGUGAGAUUUUUUUUCAUAUGAGAUCAAUUUUUAGUAGAUUUAUUUAUAGGAUUUUUAAAUUUUUAGCAAUUGCAACUUCAUUUUUUUCAUAUGAAUUUUUUUAGUUGAAUUUAUUUUUUUGUUUUAUUUUUUUGUUGCAAAUUUGUUUGAGUUGAUUUUCUUAUUCUUUUUUCCAAGCAUUUUGAGUAUAUAUUAUACAGUGUUAAUUUAUGUUAAUUUAAUUAUUUUAUAAUUUUAUAAAAUGAAUUUUUUUAAAAAAUGUUUUUAAAUAAUUACCGACAGAAUUACCGACGGAAAUUCCAUCGGUAAUUCCAUCGGUAAAUCCGUUGGUAAUAAAAAUAAUAUUAUUACCGAGGAUAUACCAACGAAAUGAAGCGGAUAAAUUUAUUUUUUUAUUACCAACGGAUUCAACGACGAACAAAAAAUUACCGACGAAAGAUUCACCGACGGAGCAUUUCCGUUGGUGAUUCCAUCGGUAAAUUAAUUACCGACGAAAUAUGUGUCUUAACGCCAACGAAAAAAUUUCGUCGGUAAAACUGUUAAAUCUUGUAGUGCCUUAUGUUUUUAGGUGUAAGAUUAUCUUUGGAUUAAGGUUUUUAUCCAUAGCUUUAGCUUUUUUAGAUUAUUUAUCUAUUUUACUGUGAGUUUCUGAGUUUUUAAAUCCAUAAAUUUGGCAUCAAUUACUUUCUUAUUUACCCCAGCAAGAGCAGACACCCAUAGACUGGCUAGAAAGCUUCCAGCUAAUGAAUCGUCGGCCUGCUGUUGGAGAGGUAAAUGUGAAGGUCCGUUUGGAUAGCUGUUACUUUUGUGAUUGAAACUUUUAGCCAUGGGUGUAAAAAUGUUUGCUAAUUUUCUAUUAGAAUGCUCUUUCGUUAAUAAAAAUUUCAGGACAGAAACCAAAGAGGAGAAUCUUUUAAAGAGAUAUCCGAGACUUUCCGGAUAAGAGACACAUGAGUUGUGUUGUAAAAGAUUCAAAAUUACUCUCUUUCCCUGUCUUUAUAUCUAAAACAUUAAUUUUACAAUAGUUAAUUUUAACACAAGAUUUAAAAACUUUAAAAUAAAAUAAUAAAAUAAAACUCAUAAAAAGAUUAAAGAGUUCGUUCCACUUGUGGCUCAAAACUCUACCAAACAAAUGAAAAAAAUAAAAAUAAAUAAAAGGACCCAACAGCUUUUAAAACACCGAAAGCUACGCAUACCCAAAUGAACCCUUGAUCUUGGCAAGCUGACUUUGAAUCAAUAUUAAAAUUUAGUACAUGGACAUCACGCUAUACGCCUUCGGCAUCGAAAUUAAAUAUUUUUUUCUUGCACGAUGGCCGAGUCAAUGAAAACAUAAAAAGAAAAACAGAGAAAGGACUGCAACCUUGCCACCCAAGGUGCCUGCCUCAGUUACUACAUUUUACUUCAUGAGAGUUAGCUCAGCAAUCAGUAAAUGUCAAGAAGAUUAAUUCACAAGUAUUCACUUUUAAAAAAAAAACAAGGGGGGGGGGGGGGGGGGUUAAAUUUUAGUAACCGUUUUGAUUUUCAAAAACCGCAAGUUUAGCUUUAAUUCUACCUUGACACCUGGUAAACUAACUACAAGCUAUUCCCUGCUUGAAGAUUCCAUUAUGGAUACAGCAGAGACUAACAGGAUCCUAUUCAAAAAAAUAAAAAAGUAAGAAAUGAAAUGUGAUAGAAGGCAGGCAGGAAGACAUCAUAAUCUAAGGUUCUAAGGGAAUCAGCUUUCAGAUUCCCAUNNNNN
This 53769-nucleotide long non-coding RNA is filed under the name Populus trichocarpa (black cottonwood). RNAcentral describes it as "long non-coding RNA (PTRI_LNC001535)". The record is from RNAcentral. Lineage: Eukaryota; Viridiplantae; Streptophyta; Magnoliopsida; Malpighiales; Salicaceae.